UUAUUUUCUCUAUCAAAUAACUAGGUGUCAAAGAUAGAUGGCAUAGCUUAUAGGGCAUGCCAUAGUUAAUAUAAUAUAAUAUAAUAUAAUUUAAAUUAUAUGAAUAGUAUUCUAAUAUUUUUAAAUUAUAUUCAAAAUAUGUUAUUUAAUUGAUUUGGUAAAUCAUCAUAUCAAUGAAUAAAAUAAUAAUAAUAAUCUAAUUAUUUUAUUUUUAUCUCAAAAUUGUACGUGGUUAUUUGUCAUUUUUGUGGGCAUAAUAGAUUUUCAAAAAUAAACCAUACAACUUAGAAUUUAAACUAAUGAUUUGUUGUUGGAUUGACAAGCUCUUAACCACCAAGCUUUAUGUUAUCAUUACACAAGAAUGGUUUAUUUGACAAGCUCUUAACCACCAAGCUUUAAUUAUUUUUUUAAAAAAAAAUUCUACAAAAAUAAAAAUGAACUUAUUUUAUUUUAUUCUUUAUGUUAUUUUAAAAAUUAAAUUUUUUUUAAAAAUCAACUUUCGUGUGCCGCCAUAUUCAUAUAUAAUUUUUUUACAAGCUAUUUAAGAAUAAUUAAUUCAUGAUUAUUUUUUAUGCUAUAAUAAAAUUAAUAAUAAUUUUUUAUACAAAAAUAUUAUUAUUAUUAUAUUAUAUUUUUAUCUUAAAUAAUUUUUAAUUUUUAAUAUUUUAAUAUAAUCUUGAUCAAACUAGUGAUCUAUAUAUGGUAAUGCUAAAAAUGUUAACUUAUCGUAAAUAUCUUUGUUUCAAAGGGUUCCAAUCAUAAAAGUUGCGAUAACAACUAUAAUACAUAUAAUAACAUAUUUGGUGGCCUAGUGUGACAAGACCAAGUUCUAUAUAAAAAAUUAAUAAUUUAAGAUUUAGUGAUAAUCUUUAAAAAUCCCACAAAUUAUAAUAUUAUUUGUUGGCAUAUUAGUUAAAUAUCAUAAUAGCAGUUCUAGUUUCCAGCACUUCGAGUUGUAUACUAUAUAAUAAAAUUUAUAGUAGCACUUACAAUAAAGUACCACUAAUAAAAAUGUUUAUUAAAAAUUACAGCAUUUAUACUAUAAUGCAGUAAAAAAAAGAUUCUUGAUGGCAUAUAAUAAGAAAUGAAACAAGCAAUUUGCCGCCAAAAAUAGGACUCUUAGAUCCUUUUAUUAGAAUAUUAAAAUUUUUUAGAGCUAAUAAAAAAGAUAUCAUAUAUUAUAAAAUAUCUAUUGAUGCAUUAAAGACAAAUGUUUUCUCAUAAUGUUUAGCCUCAAUUUUUGAAGUCCAUUUGCUGAAACUUAACCAAUCUUAAUAUGAAGCUACUGAUCAAGUUCCUCUACCUUAUUGCUACCCACCUUAUAGAUAGAGAAGCUUUUUUUUUUGCUAGAAACAGCAGUAUCAUACAAAAUGUGUACGGAUACAAUCAAGAAAAUCAAAAAACAGUACAUCCUGGAGAUCACUAGGCAGCUCCGCCUCGCUUACCCAUAGGUGGUCCCUAGAGUGGUUGGCAACAAAGGACGCCACCCAAUCGGCCGCCCCAUUGGCCAUCAUUGGCCAUGGCCAUAAUGUCGUUCAGCAGCAGGUGAUAGUCGCCAAUGCCCUCCCCACCCCCCACCCCCCAGGCCUACCAGAUCCAUCCGAUGAUCGUCAUGGAAUUCCCCUCGCCCGUAUGCUACACCGCACAUAACACAGUCUCGACUAGGUUGCUCGCAGCUUCGCCCUCGGCACCGAGGUAUCAAGCAACUGGCAAACCCCAGCAGCAAUCAAUCUGGAGUCCGGGCCUCUGUUCACAAAGCCUGCACCUCCCCUCGCGCCCCCUUGUAGGACGCAGCCAUCGAAGUUGACCUUGAGAAAACUCGAGGGUAGGGGCUCAUAAGUGAAAGUCAUCAUAUGGGACGCUCUACAAGUAGAGAUAGAGCCCCAGGUGUUCCGAUCUAUCAAAGAUCUAUCCGAAUGUGCAGCCAGGAAGGCCUCAACUGCCAGCAAUCGUGCCCUCUCCACCACCACCACUGAAGAGGGGCACCACUCCCCGAAAGUCCAUGCGUUCCUCGCAAGCCAGAUCUGGUAGACGGUAUAGGUCGCCCGCACCACCUCCGACCUCGCCUGCGAGGCCCCAACCAGACGUCCAAGAACCUGCAGAAGGGAUGUUGCGUGAUGCCACAUCUCUGUGGGGAACCCCGCUCUCCCCCAGACCCUCCUAACCCGAUGGCACUAGAAGAUAGUGUGGUCCAGCAACUCAACGGUCUAACACUUCGGGCGCUGGGGGGGAUACUCAUGACCCUCUUGGACAACAAGAGUCUCGUCGGUAACCGACCCCAGACGACCUUCCAAAGAAAUAAAGCUACUCUGGGGUGCAGCCCGACUCGCCAUAUCCAGCUGAAGUCUACCGCCAACUGCCCACCACCCUGGACGACAUCGCAGGCAUUAACCACCCUGAUUGUAGAUCUACAGGACGUGCUCCACACUCUAACAUCAUGGUAGGGGUGCACCGAAACUGGGAUCGCCCGAAUCCGCUCAGCAAGUGGCUCACCAAACAAUCGUCCGAUCUAGUUAGUAUUCCACCCUCUCCCUUUGGGAAGAAGAAGGUCACUCACUCGCAGCCCCUCCUCUGCCUCGACACUAAGUAGGUUCGGCCAGCGCCUCAACAAGAGCUCAUCCACCACCAAAUCAACCCUCUGACCGUCACCAAUCAGCCAUCUACAUCUUGACAGGACCAAAGGCACGUAUCUGCAAAUUUCUCACCAAAUCGGUGAUGCUCUCCGGCCCCCAAGUGGGGUCGCACCGCCCCCAACAUAGCUGUACCAGGCGACCAUCAUCUAACUCCAAAAGCACUGGGGCUCCAAGAUAACCCUAGUUGCAUGCUGAACAAUUAGCGCCUCCCUUCUGGUCAGCAAGGACUGGACCCCCAGCCCCCUUAGUCGGUCGGCAGACUGACUCCCAUUCCACCAGAUGCACCCCCCGGCUGUCACCAUGUGUCCCCCAAAUGAAACUCUAGGCAAGCCUCUCAAUCAUUCUCAACACCGUCUUGGGUACCACAGUGUUGGACAUCAUGUAGAUAGGUAUGGAGCAAAGUACAGAUCUAACCAAUGUCACCCUAUCUAUCAUGGAGAGUGAGGCCGCCCUCCAACCCUCUAGCCUCUGCUGUACCCGGUGCACCAAGUCCUGGCAGUACGAGACUCGCAACCUCUUUCUAGAUAACUCCUAGAUAACUCCACGGUCCAUCCUGCUCCCUCAUCCCAAGUAAUUCCCUGAUCUCCUGCCGCACCGCACCUCAGUCUUUGGGCUAAACACAAUGAUCGACUUCUGAAGAUUCACCCUCUGUCUUGAGGCAUAGCAAUAGUCCUCCAAGUCUCUCUAAAGAACCUCAGCAUCCUUGGGCCUAGCCCUAGCCAGCAAAAGGUAAUCAUCUGCAAAAAGGAGGUGAGUGAUUGGCUGGGCACCAGAGGCCGGAAGGUAGGUCUCCAGCGCUCGCCUCCUACAAGCAUGGCGCAGGGUACGGGAUAGAACAUUAGCACAGAUAUUGAAGAAGUACGGAGAAAGGGGACAACCCUGGCACAGCCCAAAGGAAUACCGGAAGAAAGGCGAUGGCGAACCAUUGAUCAGGAUCGAGAACGACAGCCCCCGUAUACACCCCAUAUCCAAGAAAUCCAUGACUCGUAAAAGCCGAAACUCAUCAUAGCCCUCCGCAAGAAACACCAUCGGACUUUAUCAAGACCCUCUCCAUGUCGAGCUUCACAGCCAUGUAACAUUGCCGUCGUGAAGCUCGCUGCAAGUCCCACAUCAUCUCCUGGGCCAACAUGAUAUUGUCGGUAAUGCUCCGGCCACCGACAAAGGCUCCCUGCUCUGAACAGAUCAAGCGGGGAAGGAGGGUUUACAUUCUGCCCACCAGCAUCUUGGCCAUCACCUUAUAAAAGGUAGUGCAAAGGCUGAUGGGUCAGAGUGACUGGGCUUUGACACGUCGUGCCCUAGAUAUUUAAGAUCUGUUCUUUGAUGGAUAAAUAUCAUAAAAAAAUUGACCACUUCUCUAUGGACCGAUUUACCUAUAUUCUCAUGGUUCUCUAAAUAAGUAAGUUAUUUUUCCAUAGGCAGCAUUCACUCAUUUGAAAGAUGGGUAAGUCAUUUGCUCAUCAACUAGCAAAAUAAAUAUUUUAUUUUAUUUCUAAAAUACCUUUAAUCCUAGUAUUAUAAUAUUUUAUUAUAUUAUACAAUAAUAUAAUAUACUAUAUAAUAUAUUAUAAUAUAUACUAUUAUAUUAUAUUAUAUAUAUUAUGUAAUAUAACAUAUGAUAUAUUAUAAUAUGUCAUAAAAUAUUGCAAUAUAUAUUAUGGAUAUAAUAUAUAAUAUAAAUAUAAUGAUAUAAUAUAUAAUAUAUAAUAUGAUGUAUAAUAUAAUAUAAUAUACUAUAUUUAUUAUAAUAUAAUAUUAAGAUAUUACGUAUAAUAAUAUACUAUUAUAUAUAAUAUGAUAUAUUAUAAUAUAUCAUAAUAUAUCAUAAUAUAUUACAAUAUAUAUUAUGGACAUUAUAUGUAGUAUAUAAUAUAUUAUAUAUAAUAAUAUAUAUAACAUAAUAUAAUAUAUAUUAUAUUUUAUCACAAUAUAAUUUUAUUAUAUAUAAAUAUAAUAAUAUUAUUAUAUGAAUAUAAUUAUGUUAUAUUAUAAUAAAUAUAAUAUAUACUAUUAUAUUAUUAUCAUAUUAUUAUAUAUUUAUAUUAUAUAUAAUAUAUAAUAUAUAAUAUCCAUAUUAUAUAUUGUAAUAUAUCUAAAGCUUCGCAGGUCGACUCUGACAGAGAACAUUUUCUCUAAUACACCCAGCGAGUCGACCUCAAGGAAACUCGAGUCGACCCCACCUGGAAAAAUAGAAGAGGUCGUCUCUGGAUUCUCUGAGAGAGUCGUCCCCAGCCAGGCUCGAGUCGACCCCUCUUCUCGAGUCGACUCCAAUCAGGUCAAAAACUCUGAUUGAACCCAAAAUUGAAUCCAAUUCAAUUUGGCUCAUCCUAAAUCCAUUUACUCAAUCAAAUUAAGUUUAUUAGUAAUCCAAUUACUAAUUAAUCAUCCAAUAAUUACUUUAAUUAUUUUAUAGAAUAAUUUGCCAAUCAAAACCAAAUUAUCCCUAAAUGAUUCUUAAUCAUUCAUCAGCCUUCUUGAUCAAUCAGGAAUCUUCUAUGCGUGUGACCUCAUAGGUUCGAACCUAAGCCGGUAGUAUAGGAACGACUUUCUACACUAAUCGAUGUGACCAUCUAGCAAUGGUACCCGAUGUCCAGAUAAGUCGAAUAUAUGCGAAGCAAAUAUUCUGAAAUCCUGGACUAUGGUUACUGUAUACUUCAAUCCCUUUGACUCCUAAUGUCAGGAUGACUUAGAGCUCACUGUCAACCCUAUAAUUAGUACAUCCAUUAUGUGAUUAACUUUAGAUAUCCUGUGACUCAUCACUGGGAUUACCCUGGCCAAGGUUUUGCUAAAUUAAUCACAAGAUAUUAUCUCCUGUUUUCAGGAGGGGUCAAUUCAUCUCGACUCACAACUGACUACGCAAGUACUUGACUGUACCUAGUGACCUUCCGUCACUGAAUUAGAAAUCCAGGUAGUCCGGUACUAAAGUACAAUGAGUUGCUUGCUGGUCACAGGUUGCGGUCUCGGAUCAGAGGGCCAAACUUAUAUCCAUAUCCACUCGGAACAUCUUUUGACAAUAGAGCAUUUCGAAAUUGGUCACGUUCCGUGAAAUGUACUCCUACACUUCAUCUGUGUGGCAUACCAGUGUCUCCACACUCCUUGGUUAAGAGGACAACCAACGUAUAUGUCACACAACGACCUAAUCUUGAUAAUGCUGUCGUACUUGUAACAACAUAUCAUUUGGUCGCGAACCAGUUUAAGGACUCGAAGAUAAAUCCUCCUUUAUAAUUAAUAAGCCCUAAGGACUUCAUCAUAUAAGAGUUCAUUUGAAGAUAUAAAAUGAUGAAUAAUGCCAAAAAAUACUUUAUUAAUUUGUCAAUUCAUUUACAAUAUUCAAUCAUCAACAUACUGACGAUUGUCAUUUAGGAUUCAAUUCCCAAUAAGGGACUCCUAGAUAACUCCACAGUCCAUCCUGCUCCCUCAUCCCAAGUAAUUUCCUGAUCUCCUGCCGCACCGCACCUCAGUCUUCGGGUUAAACACAAUGAUCGACUUCUGAAGAUUCACCCUCUGACCUAAGGCAUAGCAAUAGUCCUCCAAGACUCUCUGAAGAACCUCAGCAUUCUUGGGCCUAGCCCUAGCCAGCAGAAGGUAAUCAUCUACAAAAGGGAGGUGAGUGAUCGGCUGGGCACCAGGGGUCGGAAGGUAGGUCUCCAGCGCUCGCCUCCUACAAGCAUGGCGCAGGGUACGGGAUAGAACAUUAGCACAGAUAAUGAAGAAGUACGGAGAAAGGAGACAACCCUGGCGUAGCUGAAAGAAAGAUCGGAGGAAGGGCAAUGGCGAACCAUUGAUCAGGAUCGAGAACGACAGCCCCCGUAUACACCCCAUAUCCAAGAAAUCCAUGACUCGUAAAAGCCGAAACUCAUCAUAGCCCUCCGCAAGAAACACCAUCGGACUUUAUCAAGACCCUCUCCAUGUCGAGCUUCACAGCCAUGUAACAUUGCCGUCGUGAAGCUCGCUGCAAGUCCCACAUCAUCUCCUGGGCCAACAUGAUAUUGUCGGUAAUGCUCCGGCCACCGACAAAGGCUCCCUGCUCUGAACAGAUCAAGCGGGGAAGGAGGGUUUACAUUCUGCCCACCAGCAUCUUGGCCAUCACCUUAUAAAAGGUAGUGCAAAGGCUGAUGGGUCAGAGUGACUGGGCUUUGACACGUCGUGCCCUAGAUAUUUAAGAUCUGUUCUUUGAUGGAUAAAUAUCAUAAAAAAAUUGACCACUUCUCUAUGGACCGAUUUACCUAUAUUCUCAUGGUUCUCUAAAUAAGUAAGUUAUUUUUCCAUAGGCAGCAUUCACUCAUUUGAAAGAUGGGUAAGUCAUUUGCUCAUCAACUAGCAAAAUAAAUAUUUUAUUUUAUUUCUAAAAUACCUUUAAUCCUAGUAUUAUAAUAUUUUAUUAUAUUAUACAAUAAUAUAAUAUACUAUAUAAUAUAUUAUAAUAUAUACUAUUAUAUUAUAUUAUAUAUAUUAUGUAAUAUAACAUAUGAUAUAUUAUAAUAUGUCAUAAAAUAUUGCAAUAUAUAUUAUGGAUAUAAUAUAUAAUAUAAAUAUAAUGAUAUAAUAUAUAAUAUAUAAUAUAUAAUAUGAUGUAUAAUAUAAUAUAAUAUACUAUAUUUAUUAUAAUACAAUAUUAAGAUAUUACGUAUAAUAAUAUACUAUUAUAUAUAAUAUGAUAUAUUAUAAUAUAUUACAAUAUAUAUUAUGGACAUUAUAUGUAGUAUAUAAUAUAUUAUAUAUAAUAACAUAUAUAACAUAAUAUAAUCGGGAAUUUUGGCAUAGAUUGGAUUUCCUUUUCUACGAAAUGUGACAUUUGAGCGUUUUAUCGGGAUUUUCAAAAAAUUAUAUUAUUAUCAUAUUAUUAUAUAUUUAUAUUAUAUAUAAUAUAUAAUAUCCAUAUUAUAUAUUGUAAUAUAUUAUGACAUAUUAUAAUAUAUCAUAUCAUAUAUAAUAUUAUAAUAUAUAUUAUAAACUAUAUAAUAUAUAUUAUAGAUAAAAGGUAUUAUGAAAAAUAUGGAUAAAUGUUAAUAACUUACCCCGAAAAGUAGUAAUGCAAAAGAGCACAAGCAACAAAUUUUGGAGCUACUUUGUAAUACAUAAAAGAACUUGGAUAAAUUAAUUUUCUAUCUAAAUAUUGCUUGAGAAAUAUUUAUCUAGAAAAAUAUAGAUUUCUAAGUAAAUUUUGCUCCCCAAAGGACGGUCCUUAACAAUAUUUUACCAAUGAGGCUACAAAAAUUUGGUUUUGUGCCCGAUGAAAAUGGCCUACUUACAUAUUUUGGAGAAGGAUCUCUAUUACUCGAUUUUUUCUUAUUCUUAUCAACUGCAGCCGUGAAGAGGAUAAUCAAGGCCCUUUUUGACACCCUCAUUUGUGAUUAGUGAACAAUUUUUGUACGGAUCAUCACAUUUACUAAAUCUGACAUACACUUCAAAUAUUCAAUUAUUUAUAUUAAAAUAUUAUAUUUAGGUUAAUAAGAUUUUUUUUAAUAAAAGAUGCAAAAUCGUUGAGCUUCUGAAUAUCUACCAUUCUGUUAAAUAAAAAAAUAUACGAAUUUUUCUUACAAAAUCAAUUACUAAGUGGCUUCUUAUCACAAAAAUAGCAAUAAUUUCGGCACCACAAAUUUCUUGCAAAAUUUAUGUAGCACGUCUCAUGGAUUGUCUCAUCAUCCAUCCUGAUGUUUAUGAUCAAAGUCGAGUCCACUUAUCCAUAAUUGUCCUGCUAAGCAUUCCAAUUUCCAAACGAGUUUUUUUUUUUCCCGCGUGAGAUUUGUUUUCUUCCUCUUUAAUAUUUUGGAGCCAAACUUUCCCGCGCGAAAUUCUGAUUCGGUGUCCACGGAAUAGGUUUUGAGGGAGGUAAGCUCACCGGCGGACAGGAGGCCGUUUCGGUCAACGAAGACAGGCGACACCAGAGACGGCACAAGGCCCCGCGAUUGAAUAGCCAGGCCCAAUUCUCCCAGAGCGUUCUAAUGUGACGUGUUAUGAGAACAUUCGUGCUCUUUCCUGAAUUGGACCAACAAUCUCGUGCCAAAUUGCCUUGGUGAUUACUGAAUACGGCCUAACUUACUAUUCUCCAUCACAUCGGUACCAAAUCGACAACCACGAAACAACACUAACUCGUAAACUCUCUCGGUGGGGCCCGCAAUAUAUGUCUCUAGUAGUGAAAAAGUAACGGUCUCUUUUCUGGUCGCGAUAGCCUUGCCAAUUUAAUUAUCCCCGGUGAGCGAGAGAGCGAGCGAGCUCAGCGAAGGGACUUGGAGAGGCGGGCGAGAAAGCGGAAGGCAACGCCGUCACCCCCCCCCACCCUUUCUCUCUCUCGUCGGUCGCUCAUCGGCGCCGCCAUUGCUCCGAGCUCGCCCUAUUCUCAAGGUCAGUCUUCUUCUUCUUCUUUUAUUUAAUAACCUACUCUCUCUUUCGAUCAGUAUCCUGCGUUGUUUCCUCAUUUUCUUGUUUUUUGCCCGCACGAUUUUGUUCUAUUUAUGCAGUUCCUUGCCGGGAUGCGAUUAUUAUACGGAGGUCGAUUCUGAAUUUGUUUUUUCGGGAUUUUUUUGGUUUUUUCCUCUUUGAUGAUGAACAAGUGGUGAUUGGCGGUGGCUUGCCUUGGAGGGGAGGAUCGUCCUCUCCGAUUUAAUGGGGGAUUGGUUAGGGUUUUGAAUCGGUCGGAUUUCUUUUCGUUUUUUCUCCGCUCGGUCGGAUUUAGAAUGUUGGGUUUCUGAUUGAAUGCAUUGAAGAGCUGUGUCUCAUUUUGCAUUGAAUGCCUUGUGGUGGGUGUGCUUUCAUUUGCCAUUACUGCUUAUUUUAUAUGGUAAGGAGUAUUUUAACGCUGUUGGAUUUGAUAAGGGAGUUGUUUGGUUGUAUUUUGAAUGCUAUGUUGCAGAUUUUCUUCGUUGUUGCAUAUCAGUGUUUUUAGUGGUGGAUUGAUAUGGAUCAGGUGAGGAGGGCUUGCUUUUCUUCUGCUUGUCUAUUAGCUUCUUGUUAAUAUUCUAGGGGUUAUUGUGGUAAUGUGGGGGGUUUUGGGCUUAGUAUGAGAAGGUGGAGAAGAUUGGGGAAGGGACUUACGGCGUGGUGUAUAAGGCUCGGGAUCGUCUUACGAAUGAGAUGAUUGCUUUGAAGAAAAUCCGGCUGGAGCAAGAAGAUGAAGGAGUCCCAAGCACUGCUAUUAGAGAGAUAUCACUUUUGAAGGAAAUGCAGCAUGAUAAUAUUGUCAGGUCAUUCUCAGCAACCGUCUGAAACUUCUGCAGUUUGAUAAAUUUGUAUACACUUGCUAUUCUUUCUUGUUCUCCAUUCAUGUAUGUUUAUCUGCCAAAAAUUUGUCCAUUUUCAGUUGUUUCUUGAAUAUCUGAUGCUUUUUUUUUAAACUAUGAGGUCUUCAUCCUGUGCACUUGAGAAGUUCUCUAUACCAUGUGGAAGAAGGUUAUUAAUGUAACAUCUGGGAAAUAGUCUGAUACAUGGGGUUGGUUGAAUGCUGAGUUGCAUAGCCAGCAAUAUGUGGGCCCAUGGAACUUUUCCUGUGAACUAACAGGCAUCGCAAAGCAUUUUCCUUUUGUUAAUGAAUCAAUUGGAAAAGGAAAUAAUUAUAUUGCUAUUAGCUGUCAGAUCCAUGAUCCAUGUUCAUUCAAACCAUUUCUUAUUCAAGUACUCAAAAACCAAGUUUGCUUUGCUUUAUUAUAUAUAUAUGUAUGUAUGUGUGUGUGUGUGUGUGUGUGUGUGUGUGUGUGUGUCUGUGUUCAGUAUCUAAUUCUGUGGCAAGGAAAAAUGGCAAUGCUGUGAAUGCUAAUAGUUUGCCCGCAUGAUCUAUGCUUGAAUUACAGACAAGACAAAUCCUAUCAAAACAACAGCCUUUUGUUUCUGCUUUUGGUUUUCAUUGUUUAUAUUAUGGCAGAUUACCUAUUGAACUAGUUCGGUGGUGUCUGAGUACCAGAGUUAUAACCUCUGAGUCAGCAUUAACUCUUGACAUUCAUGCUGGAAUUUGUUGAUGUAUAUGCCAGUGAAAUAUAGGAAUUUGUUUCAUAUUUAUCAGAAAACUGACCAGAUGUCUUAGGGGGUAGGAAUUUUGCUUGUUCAGUCUAUUUGAUAACUAGUAAACAUAUUAGCAUUUGCUAAAACCAAUAUGUUUUAUGUUUCGGGAAGGAUGUUUUCUUCUUAUAAUCUUCAAGUUAUUCAUAUUCCUCUAGACCUGAGUACCUGCUGAGUAAUUAAUUCAUGGAGAACAGAUGACCCGACACUUGAUAGAUAUUUUCUUGAUUAGGACAUUAAGUAAAGCUAUUAUAUCUUUUCUAUACCUUCUUGUGUGAAGUUGGGGAUAUUUUAGGAAUACAUUAAAGGGUGGUGAUGGGAAGCUAUUGGUCAUUAUUUGUCAAAUCCUAUUUGUGGUGGUACAGUUGUACUCAAGGAUGUUAAAAGCAAAGGGCACCCUUAUGGUGAGAGGACCCCAUAUUGCUUGAGAUGUUAGGUGCCAAAAAGCAAGGUGCUAAUUAUGAGAAGACCAAUAAAUGCAUUAGAAUUAAUGCGGAAGAAUAAAUAUUUAUCGAUAUAUAUUCGAAUACGUAAUGCCAACUCUACUUAUGCCCAUACUUUAGGCAUGUUUUGUCCAUUAGCACUUCGCCUUGUGGUUGACCCACGUGUUUCUUCUCACAUCUCCUUGCAUCUUUGUUAGAUAGAGCAUCCAGCUGUUAACCAUAGCGUCAAAGUUUAGGUCCUUACUUUAGAAGUUACAAAAAAGGGUAUCUUAGUGUAUGGGGCUCCCACCAUUGUGGUGUUUGGGGAGGGUCAAAUGCAAGGUACACCGAACCAGUAUCGGUCGAUGCACCGUUGGUUCCAACCGGUAUCGAAUCGGCCAACCAUGAAAGGGGAAAAAAAAGAACCGUUGCGUGCGUGUCCGCGUUAAAGCCACAGAGUGGCAUUAAAUGCCACUCUAUGGCAUUAAAUGGCCCACAUGGGCUGCCCCGUGUGGGCUCAUUGCCCCGCUCGGGGAAGUGCGCAUGGGUGCGGUUCCUUGCGCGCGGAAUCGCGCGCGGGUGCGAGCUGGGCGCGCGAUUUCCUGCUCGCGCUCGCUGCCCCGCGCAUGAGCGCUCCCUUUUUUUUCUUUUCUUUUUUUCCUUCUCUUCUUUUUUCUUCUUUCUGAACGUUCUCUUGUUCCUUCUCCUUUCUUCCCCUCUCUCUUCUCUUCUCCUCUCUUCUCCCCUUCUCCCGUGAGCAAGGAAGGAAAGGAAACCACAAGCAAGGAAGGAAAGGAAACCGUGAGCAAGGGGGGUGAUCCUCGUUGGGGUGCUCGGGAGGGAGUCGGCCCGAGGCUCGGUGCGAACCGGUAAUCUUCUUCUUCUCCUCUUUCUCUUUUUCUUCCUCUUCUUUCCUCUUCUUUCAUCUUCUUCCUCUUUUUCUUCCCUACCGGUGUGAACCGUUUUCAAAGGCUGUACCGUAUCGAUCACGGGUAGUAUUGGUAUCAGUAUAGUACGGGCUGAACCGGCCGGUACGGGCCGGUUUAGUAGACCCUGGUCAAAUGCAUUUAACUUUACCUCCAGGAUUGGAAAAGCUGUUUCCGUGUUUCAGAUCUAUGAUAUGUAGGUCAUAAUGCAACAACCUUAUUGUUGCACCAAAGCUUGCCCUAUUGCUUUAGAAUUUAUCAGUCAUUAUAUUUUUCAGAUGCAUCUCAACCUUUUUUAUUCUUAUAAAGUAGAAUACAAACACAUGCUUUGGAUGUUCUGCACUCUAUUCUAAAAACAACACAUACAUCGUCAGAUCAAUCAUUUCUUUUAAUAUCCUAAAUCAUAAUUUUAUCUUGAACACUAGAUACAAUGUUGCACAUCUUUCAAAACAUCACUUCAAAAUACCAGAAUUUACAAAUAUUUUUAAACAAAAGGUGUCAAAUGUAUACCACUGGACAUCUAAAGUAGCUUCAAGGUUCAAACAUGGAAGAAAAACCACUUCCCAAAACAUGCUUGAUGUUGGAUCUUGGAGAGGUAUCUGCCUGAGUGCCUCUCGCUUUGUCCCAGACGUUGCUUAAUAAACCUGCCCUUCCUAGGGAUUGUAGAGUUUUUUCGAGGUUUCCUCCCCUUGCAUGAGCACCUCGAGAGCCUUUGACAACGUUGAUUAUACUUGAAAGAGAACUAUUAAGUGUCUGCAUUUUAAACUCGUGAAUUUGGUGAAAGAACGCUGCUUCCUUGCUUAGAAGUUGAAAUUAUUGGAAAUCUAUCUAUUGUUUUAUUAUUUAGAUGAAAUUCAGUGCAUUUAAGAAGCAAUUAGCUGCUUGUGUUUGUUUCCCAAUUUUCAUGGUUAAUUCAUUGUACAAUGUAAUUAACAUUGGUAUACAAUCCUACAAUUGCUAAGAAGCACAGAAACUGGUCGCCAGUCUAAGAUUUUGCAUUCUUGAUAUUUACUCCUAAACAAUGACAUUUUAUGAGGUCUCCUUCUGGCAUAUGUUAAUGCCAGAUUCCCCUACAUCUUUAAAUAUUUAGAUUUUAUUGAAAAUGUGGGAUGGAGAUGUUUUUGUUAAGUUACGGUCUAAAGAAGGCAUUCUGUAUUAAAACUGGGAGGAAAGGCGCGCGCAUAUGCGCAUGUGUGCUUCUGUGCUUGUCUGUAUUUCAUACUUGCAUGUAAGUGUGUGCAUAAGUGUGUUUCUGUGCUUGUGCAUUCAACUGAAUAUAUGUAUAUGUUUGAUUGUUUAGUGUCAAAUUUAUGCAAGGAUCAUUCUGUAUCGAUCCUAAAAUAGAUAUUACUUGGAUUUAUUCUUUGAUUCUAUCUUGGUUGGCAAAGCAAAAUAUUGUAAAAGGAGCUUUUGAAGUUGUUAAACUAAGAAAUAUUGGGGUUCCUUUUCUGCUUUAUCUUUAUCACGUCAUUGUUUAUCAUGUGAUUGUAAUAUACAAUCUCUUUAUGGAUUCAUGGAAUUUCUAAAUUAAUGUGGUCUUGGAAAAGGCCCGAUUGCUAGUUCUGAACCUGCUGUUCAUAAAGAUGGAAAGGAUGAGAUGGUUGGAUUAACAGUUGGAGAUGGCUCUAAUGUUUUUUAACCUUGGCGAAGACAAGGCACAUAUUCAUUCACUCUGAACUUUUUGCAACCUUUUGCUUGCUGUUCAUAUGGAAUCCUAUCCCCAGUUCGACACCAGAUACCUAACAUUGCUGACCUCUCAUUUGGCCACCACAAAUCUUUCAAGAUUAAGUUUUGGUCAAUUGAUUUUACAGCAUUAUUUAUGUUAUUUGUUGAAUCUAAUAUCAGUUUGUGUGUAUUUGCUAAAAUAUAACCACCAGCAAUUCAUUUACGUGCAUACACAUGAAGCAUUGUAUCUCUGGCUCAACUUUCUUAGCAUUGUAUCUACACUGAUAUCUAUGCAUACACAUGGAAUCCCACCCACAGUUCUACACCAGAUUCCUAACACUGCCCACCUUUCAUUUGGCUGCCACCCAUUACUUCUAGUCUUUCAAGGUUAAGUUUUGGUCUGUUGAUUUUACAGCUUUAUUUAUCUUAUUUGUUGAAUCUAAUAUCAGCUUUUGUUUCUUUGCUAAAAUAUGACCACCAUCAAGUCAUUUACAUGCAUACACAUGAAGUAUUUAUCUAUGGCUCAACUGGCACCUAAUUGAGCCUAUAGAGAGUGUUGCCACACCAUAUCCUGGGAAGUGCAAGAAAGAAGAUUCCCUGCCACAGGGAUUUACCAAUUCCCUACUAGUCGGACACGGUCAUGCUUGUCCUAGGUGAUGUUGCUAUGUGGAGAUGCUCACACACAUUGAGAACCACAGAUGUUCUCCACCUCUUUUUGAAUGAAAAACAUUUAGGGUUUGACACUGUUGUUGUUUUUACUACAUCCUCAGUUUCUUCAAAGCUAACUCCUUUUAACCUUCAAAUUUUGUAGUGCAGCUACCACAACAUAAGUAGAAUUAUUAACUUAUACAUUGCAUACUGUUCUAUAUGAGCACUCUUACUUUCUUAAAUUUUUGGUGAUGCUCUCUUCGUACUUGCAUUCUGCACCUUUUCCAUGUUUGAGGCAGCCCGGAGUUUUUCCCUGGGACCUUCUAUUUUGUGUGCACAUUUUUUGGUGAUUUUUUAGUAAAUUUACUCUCUUCCCCUGCAAGAAAAGAAAAAAAUAGUAAACUGAAGGAGCAACCAAGGUAUUUUAUACGAGACCCCUAAGGAGAGCUUGUGGAUAUGUCACCAAUCUUUACUUCUUCACUGCUGAUGUAUAUUAGUAAUGUUUGUAUUGAUGCUAGAGGCAAAAGUGAUCAGGAUCGACAAGGCUUUGAAAUAUAAUAAAAUGCUUGAAGAACUAUCCUGACUGGUGCUUGGACAUGGAUUUAGGCCUUUUCUUGUCUUGGUUUUGUAACUUUUCUGUUAAACUUUUAUUCUAUAGUUAGUGGGUGGCCCUUAUAAGUAUUGGAAGGGCACCGAAGGUUUUGCUUUGCUGAUUAUUGAAUAUGAGUUUCUCUUCAUCAAAUUUUUCUCUCUUUGUGUGUGAGGUGGAUGCUGUGGAAGCGUGAGGGCCUUGGAAGUAUAGUUCAACCUUAGAACUAGCAUGAGCUCUGUAGAAUAUCCUUCCCUCUUUUUUAUCUUGUUCUCCUUUUCUUUUUCUUCCCCCCCUUACCAAUCUUUCUCGUUCUUUGUUCUCUUUUCUCAUCUUUUUUUUCAAACCACCCACGCUGCACUGGAGAGAUGCCAACCGGAUUUUUCUGGGUUGUUCUUAAGCCUGGCUUGAUCACCCAGUGCAACAAUUGAGUCCAUUUUUGCUUUUUCUCAAUAAUAGCUUGCCUUUUAUAACUGCCGAUAAGACACUCAGACCUCUAUUUGGGGCUUCAAACUUAUCUCAAUCCCCUUUUGAAUUGUUAGAUCUAUCAUUUGUUGGUCCCUAGGUUGUGAUAAACCUUUUGUUAGAAGUUCAUCUUUACUCGUAGGCCUUUGGAGAUAAUAUCUUAAUGCUUAGAGACAAUUUGAACUGGUUGGAAUGGUUUCAUAGCAGCUUCAAGUUGGAUGUGACCUUGCAUCAUAGAAUUCCUUAAUAUUUGCUUGAAAGAUUGUGCUUGGAUUUAUGCUGCUUUUGUUAGCUCAAAACAGAUUUUUGGUGCUAUCUCACUCCACAAACUCCAUAAAUCUGAUAAUGUGUUGUAUUUGCUUGCUGUUACUAGCAUCACUUCACUUUUAUGUGCACGUUUGCAUGAAUUAUCAAUUUCUGCACAUAUUACGUUACUGGUAAGAGGGCUUAGGCUUAGUGAAUUGCAUUUUAAGGGAUGGAUGACCAAUGGCUAGAGGGACAAGUUAUUGUAGAAGAGUUUAGAUGCAAUGCAUGACCAACUAGUAAGUUAUCACAUGUUUUCAUAAGUGCAGGGGUGGGCUAUCAUCUUGGAGCCAUGUUAGAAAGCACCAUUGCUGGGGUGGAAUCUUUGGAGAUCAAAGCUUCACCAUAGGCUUGUUAGACAGAUAUCCCAUAUAUCAUUGUGGUAGGCAAGGUUCGCCAUCUUGGUACCGGACCCCAUAUCGGUACCAUCCUAUUAUAGUGUUGGUAUGCGGUACAAUACAAGAUGGCGAGGCAUACCGAGUGCUGAUAUGGUAUGAGAAUGUGUACUAGUACGGUAUGGUAUGCUUGAUAUAGUACAGUACCAAUUGGUAUGGAAAUUCUUGGUGGUACGCAUGAUGAUUAUAGAUUGCAUGGUCAAUGUAGGUGUAAUGCUCAUGAUAUGGAGGAUGACAUGGCUGAAGAUAUCAAUGUUGACAUGCCUAACCUUGGCAGCCAAAUGAAUUGUAAGGCAUUUAGUGUUUGAUUAUCUGACAUGUAUCAUCACUCUUAUCAGUAUAAUAUAUUAGGGUUUGGUUUGUCAAAGUGAGACUGACAGGCAAGUCAAGGUCCAUUGGACCAGUGUCACAAGGCAGCUUGAGCAUUUCGUACAUGAUUCUACAGCAAAUUGGGAAGGGUUGCACGAAAUACUAACAGAAUAACUGGGAACGAGAUCCAAUACAGUUACUACUGGCUAUAUGACAAAAAAUUUGUAACUUUGGGGAGGAAAGGGAGCUUGUUCUUGGAGCCCUCAAUAACAUAAAUAAUACUUUCCUAUUCAUGUGUUGAGGUUGAACAAAGCGGACAUGUACAAGAGUUUAAAAGUAUCUACAUAAGAAAGAUGUUGCUGGGAUGAUUGGAUUUUGGGUUUGAUGAGGUAUGGGGUGGGCGAGAAACUACUGUUAACAUUUUAAGGGCUCUUAGAUAGGUGAAUGUAAUGUGUGAUCCUUUUUUGUAAGAUGUUUGGUCUAGUUUCUUGAGUUAUUAUUGGCAGUGCAUGAUGGGUGAGGGCCUUUAGCCUUUUAUACUAAGGAUUAUUUUAAGUGAUGAUGAACUUGUGCCUUGCCUUUUUUCCAUUCUUCUUGGGGCACUAGUUGUUGGGGCGCUUAGGGCUUGUUUGGUUCGCGGGAAGUAUUUUCUCUCCUAGGAAUAUGAUUUCUGGGAAGAAGAUUCCUAGGAAGAGAAUGCUUGGGAAUGUACUUUUGGUAUGUUUGGUUAAACAUGGGAAAGUGACAGAUUUUCAGAGUGCUUAUGUUUGGUUGACCAUCCACUUUCCUAGGAAAGCUAUGUGUAAUUCCUAUUAUACCUUUAAUAAAAAUUAGGUCUUUAAUGCCUCUUUAAUGCUGAAGGGCCUUUUUGGAAAAAAAUAAAAAUGGAGUGAUUUUCGUCUUAUGGGAAAGUAACUUCCCAUGUUUCUCAUGGGAAAGAUUUUCCUAUGUUUCUCACGGGAAAGACUUUUCCAUGAAAUAUGGGAAUCAUNNNNNNNNNNNNNNNNNNNNNNNNNNNNNNNNNNNNNNNNNNNNNNNNNNNNNNNNNNNNNNNNNNNNNNNNNNNNNNNNNCCCACGAACCAACGAGCCCUUAAGAUAAUCAAUUCUGUCAAUGGAAUAGCUAGGCUUAUAAUUUGUAUAUUUCUUUUGUGGUUUUAUUGAUAGCAGGACUCUGUUCAGUAUCCCUGAGUAAUGUUUGAUCUAUAAUGGUCUCAGACUGUAUGCAGAGAUCUAAUAGAGCAAAAUGUGGAAAUUUUGUUAUGCAUGGGUUUUCCUUUGUGGUAUUGAUUUCUUCAUAGGUUGGACUGUUCCAUUCCUAACAUAGUGACUAUAUCCUAGGAGGAUUGGUUGUCUAGACAAGCUUCAUCCUUCAUUGGUAAGGAGAGGAACAAUUAUCAGGAGAUAAUUGCUAACUUUCACAUCGUCUGUUGUGAAGUUGAAACAUUUGAUUGAGCUGAAUAAGAGUUUCUGAUGGGCUAAUAUAAUAUCAGAAUUUAUUAUCUGUGCUGUUAUCAUGUAUAGUAAUCUGUUGUGAUCUUCAAUACCUCACAAAGCCUUGUGCUUUUUCUUAUUCCUUCUAUUUUUUUUAAAAUGCUGGCUAGAUCUUCCAGGUUAGGCUAGUUGGCAUUUUGGGUCAUUCUGUUGCUUUCCAUCUUUGCUUGCCACCUAUAAGAUAAUUGAUUGGGUCUGGUUUCUCUGUGAUCAUAAUUUAUGUGUCUAAUGCAUAACUGAAUUAUGGUUAAUUUCCUCCCUGUUUGCUAUAAAGUUGGAUCAGGUUAGCAGAACAUGGAGAGUGGCAUUUAUUAUAUGUUAUGCCCAUCAUGCAAGACAUGUUGAACAUACUCUCUAAUCUCUAUGGUUUAGAUCUGAUGAUUCCUUCAUAUUAACACAUAUCUUUUCUUAGUGUUAAAUGACUGAAGCACAUUAAAAAUAUUACAAAUCAUUAUUAAACAGCUGGAUGAUUGUGAAUUACUUUCAUGAACUAGUUUACUUUAAAUUAAUAGGAUGCUAGGAGCCAGGAAGAGUUUUGGCUAUCCUUCAAUUUUCAUAUAAUAAAACUUUAUUUUGAUUUUUUGAUUUGACCCAGCUUUCAAAUAUUUAGGUAUGCAUUCUGGCUUGACUGUUUAAGGCUUCAAGCUAAACUUUUGCAGAAAUAUAAUGAAGUCCAUACAUGUUAUCAGAAAAUUCUUAUUUUGAGUACUUCCAAUUUUAAUACCCCCAUUGUUUGGGUCAAUAAUUCCUAGCUUCCUAGUAUUUCAUGUAUGUCUUCAAUGUCUAUGUAUGAAUUAUGAGUUUUAUUGAAACCUUACUAUUAUAUCAAUAACUUUGAACUUUUAUUUAGUUUUAUUAGCUUUUUGUACUUUGUAAUCAAAAGAAAUGUUACAAGUAUUCUUUGAGAAUGUGGCUUCCUCUAUUGUGCUUGCAGGUGCUAAGGGAUUUGUUAGUAGAUACAUGUUUUGACAUGUUACCUUUAUCCUUCCCCUCCUUUUUCUGAUAAUGGUGGAGCCUGAUACUACAAAAGCCAUUGGGCAUGUGAGUGAAAUUAUCUAUAGUGCUACCAUAAUAUUUGGUAGGCAUUAUCUGGGAUCUUUAGUGGAAGAUGCAUGUUUUAGAUAUGUUACCUCUUGUGCUCUUUUCUGUUAAGCUAAUUUAUAGUGGUUUGAGACAUGGAAAAAAAUCAUCAAAAUAUUCAUCUGUUUGCUUGCAUCUUGCUUGCUUCUUUACAAAAGGAUGUUGUUGAAUUCUUGUAAUGGACAAGGCAUGAUUUCAUUCAGUAGAAUAACACUUUUGUUUUGAAUUUUAUUUUAUUUUAUCUUGUGUUCUAUGGCUUUAAAUUCUCUAAAUAUCCAACACUGGUUAAGCACUUCCUUUUCAUACCUUAUCCUUAUUUUGCAGUUUUUGGCUUGUCUAUUGUGGCUUUAUAUCACACAUGUUACAGUUCUAGAACGUUGAGAUGGUUUUUGAAUAGCAGGUUGCAAGAUGUAGUACACAGUGAGAAGCGAAUAUACUUGGUCUUUGAGUAUCUGGACCUGGAUUUGAAAAAGCACAUGGAUUCUUGUCCAGAACUUGCUAAAGAUCCAUGCUUAAUAAAAGUGAGCGUCUUAUUCUGUUUUAUAUGCAUUCAUUAUAAAUUUUACAUUCACAUUACAGUCCUUACAUAGUACGUUGGUAGUGAUUAGUCAUUUACUUGUAAGAAACCCUAUGUGGCUUUACGGUGUGACCUGUAUUCUUUAGAAGAUGUUCUAUUUCACUUCGCUAUUUCAUGUCAUCCUAUACUGUUGAACUUGUAUGAAUUAGUCCUUCAAAUUGCUACUUGUUUUUUAAACAUAUCAAGGUACCUUCUUUCAGAAAGCUUCUUAGAAUUACUAGAAUACUUGCUGAUAUUAUUGGAGAAGAUCCUAUCAUCAGGUGGACUCAUUAAGCUUCCUAGAAUGUUUAAUUCGGAGCCCUUUCUUCUUUUUUAUAUGAUCUCUUCUUCUAGCUACAUUCUUUUCCAUUGGUAAGACUAAAAAAAAGUAUUAUUCCUGGUUGCUAAAUAUAUCUCAUAUAUGCUGGGUAAUAAUGUGGAUCCAUAUUGAUCUGCAUUAUGUUUUUUUUUUUGUUAACUGUCAAGUACUUAAUCACUUAUAACUAUUAUAAUGGUAUAAUGAUUUGUGUGUUAAUCAUAUUUCUUUCUACAUGGGUUGUGUUUUAGUUUGCUCUUUGGCACAUAAUUUGUGCCUUAAAGAUUUGUUUCUUAUUGUCAUACCUGCCAUAUUCCUCCAUUUAGACUCUUUCCCAGGUCAGAAGUGUGGAGGUUUGUUUCUUGCUUGCAUGAACUUAAACCAUGAGCAAUGAGUAGGUCCAUCCACCUAACAGACUGGUACUCUAGGUCUCGUGGCAGGCUCUCUUGGCCAACUCCCUUGGCAAAGAAUCCAGCAGCAAUUCUAAGAGGGUUGGUGUUACAUUGACACCUAAUAUGAGAAUUCUGGCCAAUCGGUCCAUGGAUGCUUAGCGACAGCCAUGCUCCUUAUAGAUCUAAUUUUGUUAAAAGCAGUUUGUUGAUGAUGAUAAAUACAUGCUAUAAUGCUAUAUAAUUGAGGAUUACUAUCUUAAAUAGUAUUAAUUGAAAUAGUGUGGCUAACCUACAAAAUUUCUAACCAUUUGAUGUAUGAGCUAAUUUACUAUAUGGCCAAAGUAAAUAAUUAAAAAUGCCAGAUGACGGCUGCAGUCUCAUUUUAGGUUACCAUCAUGUUAAACUUCAGGGCUGAUAUCCUUCUUCUUUCUUCUUUCUGCAGACGUUUCUUUACCAGAUUCUCCGUGGUAUAGCAUAUUGCCAUUCUCAUAGAGUUCUUCACCGAGAUCUGAAGCCUCAGAACUUGCUUAUAGAUCGGCGCACUAAUGCCCUGAAGCUUGCAGACUUUGGACUAGCCAGGGCAUUUGGUAUCCCUGUCCGGACAUUUACUCAUGAGGUAUCUUUGUGCUUCGGCAAUUUUUCUUACAUUCCUCAGUAAGUUCAGUUUUUUUACUAGGUUAAAAAUUGCUUUCCUUGUGACUCAGAGGAGAAAUUCACAGGACAUUUCUGUUGAAAAUGACUCUGUGAAAUUAAUUUUACUUUGAAAAAGAAGAUAGAAUAAAAGCAUAUUGCAUUAAUUUGAGAUUUUUUGGUGGUAUACAUUUCUUUGGCUGUUUCUUUAACCAUUCAGCAUAUAAGGGUGUUUUCAUGUUUGUUUUGACAUUAAAAAAAACUCCAUCUUUCAAUCAUGAACGUGAAAUUCUCUUUCAAUUUUUGUCCCUUCUGGUGAUGCCAUCGGACAUUUUUUUUCUUAUACUUCUCCCCCAUAGGUGGUAACACUGUGGUAUAGGGCACCAGAAAUUCUGCUAGGGUCUCGGCAUUACUCUACUCCUGUUGAUAUUUGGUCGGCGGGCUGUAUUUUUGCUGAAAUGGUGAACCAACGGCCACUGUUCCCUGGAGAUUCUGAGAUCGAUGAAUUGUUUAAAAUUUUCAGGUUUUACAGAUACCUUGGUGUUGAAGUUUUAUGUUAUGGUUGCACUCUGUGCUACUUACGUGCCUAACACUACAUUUGCAAUUUCUUCUGCAUGUGUGACUACGAAGAGUUUUGGGUACUCCAAAUGAAGAAACUUGGCCUGGUGUUUCUUCCUUGCCUGACUACAAGUCUGCUUUCCCCAAGUGGCCUCCCAAGGUAUUGAAUAAAUUAAGUAACGUGUUCCUGGAUUUGUCAGCAUUUUCUUAUUCUUAUUUGUGACAUCCACUUCAGAUUAUUAUUGCCCUUCAUCUCUGUUUUAUACUAUGAGACAUGACCUACUGAAAUUCCAUUUUUAUUUACUAAAGCAAUUAAAUCUAUUAAAGGUUAUUAGUUAGUGUACAUUAGCCGACCAUGAUAACCAAUUUUUUUUUCCUAUUAGAACUGCUAUAACCAUUUGGGAUGACGCAAGGUCCUGAUCUGGUGUUGGCUGUGCAGGAUCUAGCAAUGGUGGUCCCGAAUCUUGAACCAGCAGGGAUUGAUCUUCUCUUGGUAUGAUACUAACAAAGGUGCCUAGGCACUCUGUUUUUACUUAUUUGCUGUGUCAUAUAUGCUAGAGAAUUGCUAGAUUUACACAUUCAGGAGUAAAUACUAUGUUUCUGGUUUCUUAUUCUCUCUCACUAAAGGUGGCCGGCAUAGCGCAUGGCAUGCAUAACUGCUUAAUGUACAAGCAUGUUGAUCUGGCACAGCUAUUCUCUGGGUAUAGAGUCAUUAAAAAUGCCAGUUGUAGAAUAAGGAAUGCCAUAUAUAUUGGGAUGCAGAAAGGAGGCCGCAUUUAAUAAUCGUUUUUAAAUUCUGCUGGCGAGCUUGCAAGUACAGUAGCCUGGUUAACUUCAGAUCUCAUUAAGUGCAUCAUUUUCAAUGCCCCUUCUGCUGUAACUGUAUGAUCAUUGGAUCAAUGAUGUGGUUAUAUCUGAUGUGGAGAUGCUCAUUUUACAUUACUUGGUAAAUCUAUCUGCAGUUGGGUAAGGAGCAGAAAUAGGUUGUUUCACAUACUUAAUGAUGACUUUCUGGCUGCUAAUGAUGUAAUUUAUGCUCAUGUUUCACAGAAAAUGCUUUGCUUGGAACCAAGCAGAAGAAUCACAGCUCGGAAUGCUCUUGAGCACGAGUACUUCAAGGAUAUUGGGGAGGCACCAUAAUCUGCAUUUUCGUUCUUUCCUCUGUAUAUAAUCUCAGGCAAGUCAUCAGAUGUGCUGCAACUUGUUGGUGUUGAACCGGAUCUGUGUGUUUCCUUUGCCCCUUUUGUUUUCGGCUCCACCUUGCAACUGGUUCUUGUUUGUGUAGAGAAGUGGAAACCUGAGAUGGGAACUGGGCUUGUCUUCAUUAAAAUUGAAUGCAAAAGCAUAAAAAGAAAAAAAAAAAUGCGGCGUUUCUUUUCUUGUUCGAGAGGGUAGUUUAUGGCUCAUCUAAAUUGCUGAGAUGUAUUCUGUAAAGCCUAGAUUUACUGCUUCCAUGGAAUUGCUUCCUUGGAGGGAGAAGGCUAUCAUUUCUCAAUCAGAGUUUCUAGAAAUAAAUGGAGAACCCUGAUGUAGUUUCCUUAGUUAAUGCCACCUUUUGUAUUGAAGAGGCUAGUGAUCCUUGUUGCCCACGGAUAUGAUUGACAAAAGGUUGUCUACACCAGCAUUGCCUGACUACAUGCAAAUGCUGAGGCUUGUGAUUCUCAGACUCGGGCAUUUGCAGCUAGUACAAAAGUUGGUGAGUAAAAAACUGGUGGAUUAGAGUAGUUGCUUAGCUCCUAGUUGCAAUGGGGCUUUACUUUAUGGUAGCUAGCUUUGUGGCCUUGAUCAAUAUCUAAACAAAAUUAUGAAUAGUUUCUUAUCUGGAUCUUGAAUUAUUUUUUCGGUCCACAACAGGCUUGUUUUUAAUCCCCUAGUAUUUAUUUGAUAAAGAUGAAUAUUAUCCAUGUCUUGUAGAUACUGCUGCAAGCGACGAAUUUACAUUUUUUUUUGGAUUUUAUACAUCUAACGAUAUAAGUGAUGUUUGCAUCUAGACAAACACAUUGUGUAUAGUCAUCAAUUGUGUAUAUACGAAAUAAUGUUUAUAUUAUAUUACAUGUCUAAAUAUUGACGCAAGGAAAAUAUAGCAUUAAAAAAGAAACACAUAUGUGCUAGUUAUCAUGUUGAAGAUAGAAAAAAAUAUUUACUUGAUCAUUAAAAACAAUUCUUUAGUUAAAUACUAUCCGGGACAUGCAAUACGUGUUCAUUGUUCAUGAGAAAAAGAGCAUUAUAGGGGGAUGUUAUGAUAUUAAAAUGAAAUGAACAAGAAAGAUUUGUUACCUAAAGUGAAAUACUAAGACCCUAAAGUCAUUUCAAUAGUAGUAAAAUAAUAAAUAAUCCUAAAGGUUUUCGAGCCUCGUGCAUAUUGGAAUCUAAGCCCUUUGCAUAUUAUGCCUAAAGAUGCAUAUAAACCUUAUCCUAAUCUAUACUGAGAACAUCAUGAUGUACACAUAUUAUUAAGAUAAAAACACAAUGAUACCUAUCUACAUAUAUACAUUUAUCCAUUAAAAACUGUGAUUGGAGGCUAAAGUUGGCCAUAUUGGUCAUAUUAUUUUUGUUGUGUAGGCUAUGUAGUGAAAUAAGAAGAAUACAUGGUUCUCUUAUGCUCUAUUUGGAUGCCAGAUCAAAUUAUCCAUGCAAUGGUGUAUGCUUAGGCUGUUACUCAAAGAUGCAAAAGAAAAAGGUCAUAAGAAGAUGAAGAGGUUUAGCAUGCGAAUGAGGCUUCGAUUCCAUUAACCCAAAGUUUUUGAGAUAUGAGGAAUCACUUUUUUAUUCAACUUAGUUAAUCUUGAUUUUUCAGAUGAGUAAUGCCACGGGGGAGCCUACUACGUGCAUUAAAAAAAGGACCUCUUUAUCAUAUGACGCAAGGAGAUUGGUGUAAUUGAUGAAAAUUGUUGCCAAACCAGGGUAUCCAGGGAAGGGUACCGGAGGUUCAGUCAUGAGGACAUUUGAGUAAUAAAUUACCAAAAAACAGAAAAAUGGACGAGAGAAGCUUUGUUUAUCCGCUUAUCAAGUCUCUCAAAACUGUUUGUUGAUUUAUCUUUUGAUAUUGAAAGUAGUGCUAAAUAAAGAAAAAGGUAUUUGGAAGCUAGUUCAAGUUCAACUCCCUUAGAUAUGAAAUGAGUCAAAAAGCUUGCCUUAAUUUAGCUUGAAUUAUAACAAUAUAAACAAGUUGUAUAAUAAUAAUAAUAAUAAUAUAUUAUUUAUUUUUUAAAAUUCUUUAUUUUAAAAUUAUGAAUUAAUGAGUUAUAUAGAUAGAACGGAUUUCAACUAUAAGAUUAAAAUAUAAUUAAAUUAUUACUCUAAACUAUAUAAAUAAAAUUCUCAAAUAGUUUGAGAUUUUUAAAACAAACUGCUCGUGAACAGCUCAAGCUUAGUACACUUAUAAAAUGAGCCAACUUUGAACUCGAGCUAGUUUAGUGUUUGGUUUCUUUUCACCACUGUCUGCAACAAUGCCUUUGAUUCCCUUUUCAUAUGCCCUUUUACCUCCUUUGUUCGUUAUCUACUUGUUUAAUGGAUAACCUUAUCAUUAAUAACUUGCUUUGUCAAACCAUUUUUAAUAAUAAAAGUUAUUCAAAUUUUACUAUAAACACACACACACACACACACACACACACACACACACACACACACACACACACACAUAUAUAUAUAUAUAUAACUAUUCUCUACUAUANNNNNNNNNNNNNNNNNNNNCACACACACACACACACACACACACACACACACACACACACACACACACACAUAUAUAUAGAUAUAUAACAUUUCUCUACUAUUAUAAUGGUAGAAGGUUUGUUGCUGAAUUUAGAGUCGGUAAUUAGAUUUUUUAUGGGCUCUAGAUAAAAGAAUUUAUGAGAACGCAUCGAGUGGGCUAAACCUUGAGAACCACAUAGGAAAAACUGUAGGCCUGUGCCUUAAAUAAACAGAAUUCAAACUUCCGCGGGUGUCACACCCUGAACCUAAUGCAUAAUAGAUGCUGCAUAUUUAUAGGAUGAACCAUACAAGCAUACAAGGCUAUAGAUCAAAUCAUAAUAAUUUCAAAGUAAUCAUAAUAAUUCUUCGAUCCUCGAGAUUAAUUUCAUCAAAAUCCAAUCAAAUUAUUCUCAUAAACAAAUAUCUCAAAAUAUGAUGAGUCAAAUUCUUAUCAUUUAAUCCAAAUAAACUAUCCAAAAUUAAAUUAAAUCAAUCUAAACUAAACUAAGCUAAAAAUUCAAAUAAUCACGAAUAUCUUUAGAAGUUCUAGUGCAUUUCUUCAAAUUCCAAGUAAUUAUAAUUCAAGAUUUAAAAAUAGAAAAGAAAGAAUAAUGAGCUACUCUAGCCUACUAAGUAACAUAACAUACCAAACCGCGGUCUAAAAAUACCAAACAAAUAAAUAAUCAAGUAGCAUUAUAUUGAUUGGAAAUAAAUUAAAUCUCGAGUAAUACACAUAUUUUUUUUAUAAAAUAUUACUAAACGCAAUAUCAAGCUAUGACCACGUAACCCGGUGGCAUAAAAUCAAAUAGCAGAUACAAAGGGCACAAAAUGCCAGAUAACAGAUAACACUAUUUUAAUCAUGAAUGGUAGAGUAUCAAAACUAGUUUCAUAGAUUAUAAGUCGACAGGGCCAACGAAUAAUCUCAAUUGAUAGGACCAAAUUAUAGCCGUGCUGAGAAUAUACAUAAGAAUAUAUAUAUAUAUAUAUAUAUAAUUUAUCCAACUAUAUUUUUAAAAUUUAUUUUAUAAGAGUAUUAAGAUACAUAUCAUAUUUAUAAUUAUGACCGUAAUAAUAACAUGCUCAACCUAUUUAAUUAAAUUUAAAAUAGAGAUCAUAAUCAAAUUUAAUAAACUAAUUAUAUUUUUCUAAAGGUCAGAAAAUAUAUAUACUUGGAAGCUUAGGUUACUUACCUCUUUCCGUUUCAAAAUCCUGCUUUAGUUAGGCAGAUUUCACAUAUUCAAAUCUAUUAAAAUCCGAUAUCAACAACCUCGAAAAGCAAGAGAAUUCAAAACGAGUUAAGUUCGAAAGGUACGAAAGAUCAAAACGAUUUUCUGAUUAUAAUAAAAAUUAUUCAGGCCCGGGUCCGGUACUUACUCGGUCUUCGGGCUUUGAGUUCUACCAGCCAAUAUAUAUUCCAUGGACUUCGUUUCGUGGACGCGUUGUUUUAGUCUUCCAGGAGCAACAGACAUAUGAAACGUGUCGAAGGGACUCCCAUGCAUGCUGACACCGAAGCCCCUUCCCUCCUUGCAGCCAUUUUCCCUUAAACUGGUGUAAAAAUUUAUAUACUCUCACAGUCUCACCGCACCGCCACCUCUUCUCCAUAAUCCUAUCAGCUCUUCCUUCCCUUGUGCACGUUCUGAACUUCUGAUAAUCAUCAACUCGUUCUCAUGGCUUUGGAGGCAUCUCCCCCUUUGCUCCGCCCACAGCAUGAAGAGAACGGUGGUGGUGUUGGGAGAGAAGGCUUUUGGAGUGAGGAUAGCGUCAAGAGUGCAAUCGAUGCGGGUCUUGACGCCAUUGUUACCUCCUUCUCCCUCAUCUCUUCCAUCUCAGCUACUCGCCUCGCCUCUGGUACGUACUUUUAAGUCUGCAUUUAAUUAGCUGCUGCUUCGGUUGUUCUCGUCCGGUACUUGAAGUCCCAACUUAAUUAGCUUCUGCUUUUGUUAUUCUUCUAUGAUAAAUUUGAAUUCCUGAUGCCCAGUUAUUUGAUUCAUUAUAGUAUUGCCUUGGGAUCUUCGGUUGUUAAUUAGUUAAUAGCAUGGUGAAGACCCCCCAACUUAUAAAGUAGGACUUGUUGAGUUGGGGUUCCCCACCUUUUUCUUUUUUCUUAUGUUCUUCCUGUUCGUACAUAUUCUAAUGAAACCUGUGGUGGUAUUUUUCACCGUUUUGCUAAAAAAAAAAAGAAGUUUUAAGUUGGUAAAAUUUCUAGCUAGUUGUACUAGAGAUCUAGGCUUGAUUCCAACUUAAAGAAUCCAACUUAAGGGAUCGGUAGAGUUUUUUCAGUAGUUGUACUGGAGAUCUAGAUUGGUAUAAGUUUUUUAGUAGUUGUACAGAGAACUAAAGUUCAACUUUCAUUUCUAAAUGGGUACGAAACCAAGUUUCCUAUGCAGGACACUGCACAGAACAGUUCAACCGAGAUUUGGAGGUGCCAUCUUGUGUUGAGUGGUUCACCAAAAACUUAUUUCAUAAUGGUGUCUGAGUCUCAAAGUUGCUGGUGUUUUCAGCAGCGGCGCACAAAGGAAAGAAAUAUUUUGCUCUGCAAUGGACCGGAAUGUUUUUUUUUCUUUUCUUUUCUUUCAUUUGCGUUUAUUUUGUGUUCCUGCAUGAGUUGGUGCAGUUGAUGUCUUGGUGCUGGGAUUUGCAAAUUUGGUGGCUCGUGGCAUAUCAAUGGGUUUUGGAGAUUUUGUAUCAACCAGCACUGAGAAUGAGAUGGCCAAGAAGGAGAGGGCGACGACCGAGCAGGACGUGAGCAAGUCCAUCAGCUCCCAGCAGGCUGGGUUGCUCUCCACAUACCAAGCAUUAGGGUUGGAUUUGGAGGACGCCACAACAGUAUGUCAUCUUUGCAUUGGUCAUUUCCUCUUUGCUAGAAGCCAAGAACAUAGUCUGAUAUAACUUCUACCUUUGGGGUUAUUGUCAUCACACCAAAGCAAAUCUAGAUCUUUUGUCACAUCGAUGCAAACUUAUGAACCGUCUCGAACUGCCCGGUUCGGAGCGUACCAAGCCGUGCCGGCAGCGGACCGGAAUAGUUCCGGCCUUUAUAAUGUGAAACCAGCAGGGGGAGGAGAGAGAGAAGGAAAUAGGGGAAUAGAGAGAGAGAGAGAGGAAGGNNNNNNNNNNNNNNNNNNNNNNNNNNNNNNNNNNNNNNNNNNNNNNNNNNNNNNNNNNNNNNGAGAUCUCCGACGACCCUCCCUCCUCUCUCUCCCUUCUCUCCCCACUCAUUUUUUCUCUCUCGUUCUCCAUCUUUUGUGUUGGUAUGGGCCCGUCACGAAAUGACACGAAGGCAUAUCAAACCAUACCGCCAACCGAUUGGUACAACCUUCAGUACUAACACGAUGAAUCUUGCAUAUUGGAAUCAUUUAAUGCAUGUUUGAUAGAAAGAUUAUAUUAGCAUAUUAAGUAUCAUUACCGUAUCCAUGAACGGCAAGUCCUGUUCUAAUUCACUGUAGUUGAUGAUGAAUCCUUUGAAACUUCAUUAGUUUGCAUCUUUUGCUCCAAAACAUCCACCCUUUAUUAAUUAUCAAGUCUGCCAUCUAUAUGUCCUCAAAGAAUAGUAAACACAAUUCUUCUUCUUUUCAGGCAAUAUUCUAUUUUUCUCUAUUAAAAUUGCAUGGAUGAAGAGAUAUGUGUGCUUACAUAUAUUAUUCCCUAUAAUUUAAACCCAACAAAAUUUUUCUUAACAUCUUAAUCUUUAUCAUAUUUGUACUAUCAGCUUCUUUUUCUCUUCUAGAUAUUAGUAACUCUUCCACGUAGCAUUUUAAGCAUUACAACUAUCCUUAAAAAAUCCAAAAAGUUUUAUCAUCAUUCAUCAAGCUUCAUUAAUUUGUAUCUCAGGUUCUCCGAUUUGUUGCCAUGGAAAUUUUGGUUGAUGAGUGCAGGUUGUGAAUGUGUUCUCAAAAUACCAAGACAUAUUGGUGGAUGAGAAGAUGACUGCCCAGAAAGGGGUGCUGCCACCUCGCCAGACCGAGAAGCCAUGGAAGAGUGGGCUCAUCAGCUUUGCAGCCUUCAUCUUGUUUGGCAAUGUUCCCCUCCUCUCCUUCGUCGUCCUCAUUCCAUUCACAGGGGAUGAUUCCACCAAGUUCCUUGGGGCAUGCCUUCUCUCGGCCCUUGCUCUUGCGCUCCUCGGGCUGGCCAGGGCCAAAAUCUCAGGGCAGUACCUGCACUCUGUAGCAGCUACUCUAUUCAAUGGUGGCAUUGCAGCAACCUGUGCAUACUUGAUAGGGUGGAUGCUUCGAAAUGCGGCCGGUUUGCAUGACCAAACAAAAGGACAUUAAACUGCAUCCACUCUCAUCCUGGAGGCUAUCUGUAGAUAUUAACAAAUUAAUGUCAAAGAAAAUCCUUGACCUGAUAUGUUUGCUCUUAACUUUGAUGCGUAGCUGUAUUCAUGAAUCUAGAACAGUUUGUUGUUUCUCUUGUUUUUUCUAGUAUAGUAUUAUCAAUAGAUUUUUUUUGGCAUGUAACUUUGCAAACAGGAUUUAUUGCCAGAUAAAAUGGUUCGAGCUAAAAUAAUAUCUAACAUGUCCAUGUUAAAAGAAGAUCACUUAGCCAGCUUGUAAGGAAUUAAGAUUUUAGUUAUUACUGCCAAUUAUUAUAUUUUUUUUCUUUCACUAAUUGUAGUCUAUUAUUAUGACACUCUAGAGUUCAUUUAUUCUGGCUGUUAUUUCAAGUCACACAACCUGCAAGUGAGAGUGCACCCUAAAGUCCAGAGCAUGGGGAGGACAGUGAGUCAAUCAAAGAUCCUAGAAGAUCCCUCUCAGCAAAUCCCGGAAGACCAAAUGUGCAAGACAAUUAAUUUGGAGAGUUCAGACUGCUAGCCCAUUUUGACACAUUGUUUAUAACAACUGACAAAUUGGUGGCAUAGACUUUGUGUUUGGGAAUGGUACAGGUUUCUGUUUUGAAAUGGUAUACACUUGGUCUUUGGACAUGGUAUAGGUCUUAGUGUUCCCUGCUGAAUUGGAGAAAAUUAAUACAAUUUAAUCAUCGACAAUUUAUGUAAUGUGGAACAACUGGUGAUCGAGCAGCUCUGCAUUACACAAGUGACCGGUGAGGUGGGAGCGAACCUCUCCAGCUCCAUCACAGAGUCAGCCUCUUCUCUUAAGAUCCCAUCCUUGCAUCUUCUGGUCUUAGGCACCUAAAUUCAUCAUAUCUCUUGUUUUCCAGAAGUUGAUGGUGUUGAAUUGGCUCAGAUUUUUUGAACUGCGUUCCCAACAUAUCAGGAUCAUGGCAGCUACCUUUAUUUAUCUUUUCCACACCAUGGGGAGACAUCAGCAGACAAGGCAAGCCUCAGUAUUCACCAAAUUUUGAAUAGAUUCCCAUGCGGCAUGCUUCUAUAUUCCUGCUUGCAAGACUCUGAUCAUACCGGACUCCAAACUUUCCACAUGGAAGGACUUUUUCAGAUGAAAAGUAUGAGGGCAAAAGUCUUACCAACCCUUACCAGCAUAAGUAAUCAAUACCUUAAUCCUUUUGUCAACUACCUGGUAGAAUCUAUCAGACAAAUUUGCCUUUUAAAGCCUGAUCAACAGUUUCCAACAUCUCUCAAUGAUGUGGACAUGUCUGCAGAUAAUUAUAACAAUGGGAAUUUAAAAUAUCCACAGAAUCAUUCUUUCCUAGAGUGCACAAAAGAACUGAAGCAAGCUGCUAUUUGGUGGCACAAUUAGAAACAAACCUCCCUUUGUAACUUAAGAACUUGAAGCCACCUAAACCUUGUUUAGCAAACUUCAAGGAUCAAAAAGACUUUGGCUCAGCGCUCCAUAUAAUUGAGUAAACAAUUGAUCAAAGUAAACCCACCAGUUUCAUCACCAAAUUAUCAAGAUUUACAACGCACGAUCUCAUUCUCACAGAAAAACACCCGUAUGGUGCUUCUACUGACACACAAGCAUAUAUUAUAUGUCAUUACAUUUUGGAGCUGCCCUCCCGCAAUACAUCGAAUUAACAUAAUCAAAAAUUAGCCAAAAAGGGUACAAGAGUUCACUCGCAUGUUCAGGUAACACACUCCGAUCAGUGAAAUCUCUAAGUCAUACAUCAGCAGAAUGUCCACAGGAUCUUAACAAACGAGUGAAGACCUGAGAGAUGGUGUGCUUGAGAGGUGCGUGCAUGACGCCCAGCGUAUGACUGACUCCGAAACCAUGAGAUCAAGCUGCUGCUCGUGCUCCCCAAGUCCAAUUGUGUGGUUGCGCCUCUUGUGGAUACCGGCAGUUCUGGAUAAAGCUGUCGUGCCCUUUCUAACCUCAGCCCCCUUGUGUUCUGAUUUUCUAACAUCAUGUCUCAAGAAAGCUGUAAGAUCGGGAGGCAUGAAGAGCUUCCCAAAGCUGGAGUCUGCGGUACACAACAAACAGAGAGACUUUAGUUAACAAGAACAUAACACAUGAAUUCAGAAGCAGAAGUGGGACAGCUUUUACCUCUCUGAAUUGUGUUGGCCUUUGAUCUGUCACUUGUGAAACCCAAAAGGUUUUCUUGAUCAUUCCGAGGACUGAAGAAAGCAAAACUAGGCAUCAAUGGAAUCGGGGACGAGAAUUCGAGACUGUUUGACUCAAAGCUGCUGUGGAAAGAUAAACCAACAGUAUGGGAGAGAGCAGAGGCAUCAACAACAAAAGUAGAGAAUGAUGAUCUGCAAGAGAAUGCAGGGGAAGAAUGAUCUGCCUGAGUUUGGCAGGGAGUAGGGGAAAGGGUACUAAAGCUGACAUCACGACUUGCAUUGACAAGUGGGGUAGAGAAAGAACAACUUCCCAAGUCUCCACGUCCCAAAUUUAUAUCAUUGCAGUGACCACAAGGAACAUUUGGUUGCUCUACAUGUUCUUUAAUCCAGGAAUGAUCUGCAGAAGGGAAGAAAACAGCUCAAAGGCUAGGACAUGCCAUCAGCUGAACCAAAUGAUUACAAUACAAAGGAAUGAUCUGUAUGAUGGUACAAGCAAUCCCAAACCUCAGGUCUGAGAUGGCCAUGCAAUAUGGCCCGGGAAGCUCCAAAAUUGGAAAAAGCCACCACGAAUCAGAGAAAAAGUGAAAAACAGAAAAUGACUUGCAUAUGGUUGACACUAUAACUCCCUUCUUUGGAUACUGUUGUCGGCAUGGAAAUAAGAGAAACGUUAUCAUGUAAAGAUGGGCAGUUUUUAACUUUCCAUAUAUUAAAAUAGUAGACAUCUAAAGCUUAAUACUAAUUAAGCAGCAUAUGUAAAUAAAUAAAUAAAUACAUCUAUGCAUAGACAGACACAUUAUGCAGAAAUUAAAUAGACAGACUAUUUUGAUCAUAUGAGAACUUAUAGUUAGUGCAUUUGAAAUUUUUAGAUCACAAAGAACUAUCAGCCGUUCAUGAUAACCUUGUGUGUUUUUUUUAUGGUGCAAUGAGAACCUUGUGUUACAUUAGGAAUUUGGAUCAAAUUCAGCUUGCUUGUUUACCAAACAAGCCAGAGCUAUGGUUGGUUUCCUUGAACUCAGCUCAAAUAAGCUCGGAAUACACAUAUAGUAUCCUACUGUCAUACAAUAAUAAAGAAAGCAUUUUUUACAUUAGAAUUGUUAAAAUAUUUAUAAUUUACAUGCAAACGAAUAUAACUCAACUAUAAUAUUGAAAUAUAAAGAUAGAAAUUAACUCAAAGUACAUAUAUGAAAGUCUUAGGCUCCUCAGGCUCUCACUAGUGUUCUUAAAUCAACUGUUAAUUAGCAGCUUGUGUUCAGCUGAGAGAGAGAUAAGCCUGGCUUGCCCAAGCUCGGUUCAUUUACACCUCUAAGCGCACACUUAGUUUCAGUUAAAACACUGAAAUAAACAGCCACAGCUUACCUAGAACCUCUUUGGCUGUAAGCCUUUGAGCAGGAUCCCUACAUAGCAUUCCAGCUAUCAAAUCCUUCGCAGAUUGGGAUACACCACCCCAUGGCUCAGAUGGGAACUGUAGCUCAGCAGAUCUAACCAACUCAAAAAUUCUCGACUUGGUCUUUCCCCCAAAGGGUGGCAUUCCACUGAGAAGAAUGUAAAGAAUAACCCCUGCACUCCAUACAUCAGCGGCUUCAUUGUAUCCCCCUGCAAGUACUUCCGGAGCUAUGUAAAAGGGACUUCCAACAGUCCCAUAUAAGCUCUGCCCUGUUCAGUUUAUUAACACAAAUUCAAAACAAACAACAAGAGAAUAUAGUGAAUUGAAUUAGAAGUAACUCUGACAAUUCAAAGAAUACCAGGUUUGAUAUAGGUGGCAAGCCCAAAAUCUGCCAGCUUGAUGGGUGAAGACGAUGACUUCGUGGCCAGCAGAAUGUUCUCUGGCUUGAGGUCCCUGUGGACAAUGCCUUUGUCAUGGCAAUACAUCACCACCUCCAUGAGAUGCCGGAACAGGAUGGCUGCCUCAUGCUCCGAGAAGCGGCCGUGUUUCUCGAGGCGGUGGAAGAGCUCCCCACCAGCACACAGCUCCAUGACAAGGUGAACGUAGUCUUCCUCCUCAUAGACAGCCUUGAGGGCGACGACAUUAGGGUGGCCAGAGAGCCGGGCCAUGACCUCGAUCUCGAGCUUGACGCUGCGGAGGUCAUCUGAGGAGACAAGUCGGUCUUUGGCUAUGGACUUGCAGGCAAGGGUCUGCCCCGUGAGCAUGUCAGAGCAUGCCCGGAUUACCCCAAACUGGCCCCAGCCCAAUUGUUCCCCUAAAACGUAUCUAUCUCCGAGGUUGGAAAUAUGCGGGGUUUCAAGGAUUGGAUCGACGAGGCCAGGGACCUUGUAAGAGUUGUAGAGUGGGCCAAUGCUGUUGCCUUGGGCAACAGCCAUGACAAAGAGCUCAGAGCUCUCUGCAAUCAGAUAUCCUCUUCUCACCAAAUCCAAUUGACUUCUUCUCGUCAAAAAGGAUAUAAAGGUUGCAUCUUUAAUGGAAACCCUCGAUCCGGGAUCAAAACCCUAAUGCGCCCAUCGCCCAGAAGCUGAAGAUCCGAGCGGGAAAGCAAGAAAAAUACAAACUUUAGUAAAGUAAAAAGGAAAAAAAAAUCAAACUUUAUCACAAAGUUUAACAUAAUGAUUCAAAUCGAAGAGCUCCACCAAACACCCAACAAGAGAUCACAUCAAUUUCAAAACCCUAACUGCUCAAAAUCAUCGAACAACUCCAGAUUACCACAUAAAAAAGCCAAAGAAAACCCUAAUCACCCCCAGUAAAAUGCACCAAACAAAAUUCCCACCGAUCGAAUCAAGAUAAAACUAAGAAAAAAAGCGGAAGCAUGGUGACCGCGUCAGAUCCGACAAAUCAUCUCAGGGAAAUGCGACAAAAAAUCAAAAAUUUGAAAAAAAAGGAAAAAAAGAGGGGACAAAAAGGCAUAAGAGGAAAGAGGGAGCUCACCUGGGGUGGAGAAAAAGGAGUAGAAGCUGAGACGAUCGGAGAGGAGCGCUCGGCACCGCCGCUUCGCCGCUGGCUCCAGCAAGAGACGAAUGGAUGCGUUGGCGUCGCCCCGGUUUUCCGGUGGUGGAAGGCUGGAAGCCCGCUUUUUAGCAUAAUAAUAAUAAUAAUAAUAAAAGAAUUGUGGAGAUCCGCUGUAUCUAUUACCCUUUUGUUCCUCGAACUGUGCUAUGUUUGUUUUCUAAUUGUAAAGGGCAAAGUCUCUAUGCCCUCAACGCAAGAAACCACCGUAUGAGCCAGCCAAUAGGACCGUGGGCCCAACGUGAAGUGCCACCACACCAAGCAAAGCUGUGCUCCUAUGAUCUCUAAGGUAUCUUGAAUUGCCUGCUUUAAGUCAAUUUGUUAUAAUCUAUAAAAAUAUAAUAAUUACUUCAUACUAAUAGAACCUUGGGAUUAUAUGGAUGAUUGUGAUUGUUUGUUGGUUUGCCAUUUGCCACUGAUUUUGUUAGUAUUGCAUGUUUCUGCAAAAUGAUAAUUUUUAGGUGAGAGGGACAAGAAGUGAGUUUUUGGAUAGUACAAUGUUGUGUUGCUCGACACAAUGAUUUAUAUUAAUUCACUAGCUUUUUUUUCCGAUUUAGCACCAAAUUUUUAUUUUUAACGGAGCAACCAUUGAAAACAAGUUAACACUGCAUAACCUAGGUCAUGGCACCGAUAAAUACUUAAAUUAUCCUACUCAGAAGCAGCUCAAUGAAUUUGGGGGCCUAAGGUGACCUUACUAAUAAGAGGCCUUGCAGGUUAUGCACGUAUUUUAUGAAGCUAAUGGGGCUGCAGACUGGAUGGCUGCUUAUAUAGUCAGUCACUCCAGUAGUACCCUGUGGGCUGGAGAUGGAGAGUUGCCCCUGACACUCCGAGGUAUUUUGUUUUUCGAUUUUAUUGGGUGUAUCCAUACACGUCAGGUAUGAUCCACCCGCCCUAGCACAAAAUAAUAAUCAUAAUAAUAAAUGCAUUUGGAAAUUAUUUGGAAGUCUCAAUACACUUAUAGCAGAGAGUCUUUUGGAGGCCUCAAUGUAUUUAUAGCUAAAAGUCUUUAGGCUUGGAGGCCUCAAUACUGCAUUUAUAGUUAAGAGUCUGACCUUAAUGCAUUUAUAGCUAAGAAUCUUUUUUGAGAGCCUCGAUGCAUUUAUAGCCAAGAGUCUUUAGGCUGGAGCCUUAGAUGACCAUCUCAGUCGCUUAAAGAUUGAAUUGGCCCUGAUCCUACUAAAGUUGAAGUCAAAAAGAGUACACCAAGAACUUUUUUAUUCUUUUCAUAAUGCAAAAUAACACAAAUCUAAAGCUAUCGAAGAUCAUGCUCCCAAAUUGCUAAUUAUGCUACAUCUUAAUGAUUAUAGUAUGAAAAAUUAUUAUGAGACCCUAGUUAAGUCAGCAUGCAUAAAUUUAUAAAUGAUCUCCAAAUUUGCCGACCACCUUCUAAAACUAGCCACCUAGCCUAUAAAAAAAAAAUCUAGUUCAUCAACUUCCUAGCCGACACAUCGAGAUCGAUCCUGGUGCAUUGUAUUAUAGCUGCAUCCUUAUGCAACGACUUAAACUAUUAAAAUAUUUUUUUAAAAAAAGUGGACUUGGGUACAGUUGAUCGGGUACGUUCUAGGUGCCGUUAGCAUGGAGGUCUGGUGUAUUUGAAAUGGGGGGCGGACGUGAAGCACCGGAUUAACUGGAAUAAAUAAAUACGGAAGCUUGCUUUCAGAAGUCCGGGGAGAAGUUCCGGCUAUUUGCUGUCCAGCAAGCAUCUGCCACGUGUCGAGGAACCUUUGUUCCCUCUUCCGUUAACCCGACAAAAAAAAAAUACUCCACCCGGAUCCGGUGUUCCGUCAUUCAUACCAGGAAUUUGCGUCAUGGUCUCCACUGACAGAAACGUAUCGCUUUGACAUGAGAAAUACACGUGUCGACGAAUGGAUGGAUUUUGAUGGCGUUGGUGUUUGCGCGCGAUAAGUAACCGCCGUUCAUUAGGAUGGAUUGGCGGCGUGCUUCUUGUUAUCGAAACGAUGCGGAGGUCAACGCCGGUGGGUUCUAGGAGCGGAGGGAACGUGUCCAGAGGUCAUGUGGGUUGACUUUUACGUUAAGGGUUGACUGUAGAUGAUUCCCCGCCCCAACAUGCGUUAGGUUUUUCUUCUGGCCACCAGAAUUCUUGCACUAAAUUUUAAACGCCACCAAUGGACUGAUUCCAAUUAUACUUUGGGGUCCGUAAUUUGAAGCAAUUCUAUAACUGUUGAAAUUUCUAGUUUUUCGGUCAAGAGAUGCGUGACGUGCGGGGAUUAAGAAGGAAAAGGUUAGGACAUGCUUGCAAGUAGUUCAAUUUUUUUUUACAGAAAAAAAUAAUAAAUAUUGUAAACCAUGAUUUAUUUUUGAGUUUCAGCUACUUCAAAGGAAUUAAGAAUGGAUAAGAUGCCCACAAAUGUGCAGCCAAAAGUAUAAAACAUGAUGGCAUAGCUCCAUAAACAAUAGAAAUCAGAAAAAAAAUUGAAUAAAUUCAUCAAAAUCUCAAAAACUAGAAAUAAGUGAAAAAUGAGAAUAAAAUAAUAACAAAACUAAAAAGUGAGCAUAGUUUUUUUAAUUAUUAUCUGGAAAAGUUUCUGGGGAGACACGAAUGGUAUGGGCUUCCUCUAGCAAGUUUCUGCUAGAGCUGAUCACAUGACGAAUUUCGGUAUAAAAAUAUCAAAUUUUAAAUAGGCCCAAUCCGAAGACUAACUAAAAAUGAAUAUAAUUUAGGCACAAGGCCUGGCUCAUAAUAGUAGCAUGAAUUCUGGUACCUUGAUAUUCAAAAACUUUUACCACAUGUUGGCAUCUUUUUGUCCUAUUUGGAUGAGCACCAAGGAACUCAGGUCCUAGAGAAUUUGUUUGGUUGGCCGAGAAAAAUGUCAGAUCUUCAACGACAACAAGAUUGGUUGGCACAAGCAUGCCACUGACGUUUGAUCAGUCAGAAAGAUGAUGAUAGGGAUCAAAGGGAGGAUAGAAUGUGGCAUGGUUCAAGUGAAUUGACCUUCAAUUAUUUUCACCACCGUUAUAUUGUCGUUGGAAGGUGGAUAAGGGAUGUAGCGUUAUGCUAUGAUAAGGGUGCAGUGCUAAGCCGAAAGGGCUAUGGUAAGGGUAUAGCGCUAGGUUAUGAUAGAUAACUAAGAUAUGCCUACUUCUAGAAUAAAAGGUAGAGUAAAACUAAAAUAAGAUAAAAAUAUGCAUUAAAUUGAUUGUUAAAAGAUCACUUAUAGAUAGUGCAAUUUUAUUAUUUAUACUAAAAAAAAUAACUGCCUACUCUGAUAAGUGCCAUCGACAUCUAGCCUCACUCCUGAUGGUUUCAAUAACCUUUGCCAAUUAUCCUCCAUUACGCACGUUGAAAGCAUGGUUGUCCUGUAUCAACUGUCAGACUGAUAAUCCUACCUUAUUGAUCUUAAUUUAUUAUGGAUCAUGUUGGCCGCUUCUUUUACUUUGGCCUAUGCUACAGUCUCUUGCACUUCUCUAAGAUUGGUUCAGUUACCUCGGUCUUCUACUGGCCAUCUUCAUAUGUUUUGCAGUAAAACAUGGCUAAGGCUCAAUUCUUUGGCCUACUUAUCUAUAUCACUGCUGAAUUCUCUUCCCCCAGUCUAUGCCUCCAUACAUGGUGGAACUUACCAUAACCAUAUCCUAUCAAGCCUGGCAAGAAUCAUAUGACUUCUAUUUGUUUUGACUUUAUCCAAAUUGGUCCACAUUGUUAUGGGCUUAACUCUUCGCUAGAUCAAACCUGUGCGGCACCCCAAUGUCACCUGCACAAAGAAGCCAGCCAACAUGUGCCAACGGUGGAAAACCGAAGCUGCAAGCAAGGCAAAAUAAACAAAAUGCAUAAAGAAAGGCAAGGCAACACACUCAGAUAUGGGACCAUGGAAAUAAAGCUUUCAUUAAUAAAAUGGAAGGAUUACAAGCCUAGGCAACUGCCGCACAGACUACAAUCACUAAGGAGGCAAGAGAGGCAACAAUGGACACCACAGGAAUCUGCAAGGGAAUUGGCCCACUGGAUUGUUCUUGCCCACCCUCCCAAUACUACCCGAGCGGGGCAUCCACCUAAAUCCCAACUAGAGGGUUCCAAAGUAUUGAGGAGCAUUGCAUUUUUUUGGCUCUUCACUAGCGGCGGUCGCUCAUGAUAUCUUGUUACAAUAUAUGUACAAGAUUGUGUCAGGAUCCAUGGACAUGCAGAAUUGCUGGAUAAAAUGGCCUUGAUAGACUCCCCACUUGAUUAGGUCGACAUCCUCGUUUAUGUGCUUUGCUUGUAUGCUUCGACCCGAUCUUCCUCAUAUCACAAUGAGUCCUAUGGUUCCUAGCUUGCUUUUGACUCAGGAAGUCCCUUGCACUGCACCAAAUACUCGAUCUCCUAUGCACCAUUGGGUAGAACUCAGACUCUAUCCACCAAGAUGUUGUUCCUAGCUUGGUGUGUUCCUUGUGGGAUCUACUGGGUCGACACGGUAUGGCUUGAUGCAGCUUUUGUGAAAUACUGGAUGUACCUUGAGCCAUGCUGGAAGUUGCACACAGUAGGAUACAUUUCCUACCCUUUCAAGAAUGGGGAAUGGACCCUCAUACUUGUGAACCAGUCCUUUAUGCACUUUGCAAAAGAACUGGGGCAAGGCCGGUUGGAGCUUGACCAGCACCAUGUCGCCCUUCUUGAAGUCCAAAGGUCCCUCCCCUUAUUAGCCCACUUCUUCAUCUUCUUGGCAGUCUUCUGACUCUUCUCUAGUUACACCCUUGCUAUCUUAGCAUUGCGAUGCCAUUCCUAGGCAAGAUGGCAUGCAGAUGGGCUGUUCCCCAUAUACCCCACAACCACUGGAUGUGAAGUGGAGGGUUGCUGCCUAGUGAUGAUCUCGAAGGGGCUCUAGCCCCAUGCAAAGAUUCACUGCAAGUUAUAGAAGAAUUGGGCUAUGUCGAGUAGCUUCACCCAAUCCCUUUAGUUGGCACUAACAAAGCGCCGCAAAUAUUGCUCAAGGAGAGCAUUUAUUCUUUCAGUUUGGCCAUCAGUUUGGGGGUGGAGACUAGUAGAGAAGUAUAGCUUGAAACCUAGAAGCUUAAAGAACCCGAUCCAAAAUUGGCCCAAGAACCUGGAAUCCUUGUCACUCACAAUGUUUUGAGGGAUGCCCCAAUACUUUACCACAUGCUUCAAGAAUAAUCGAGCUUCCUCCUUUGCAAAACAAUACAAGGGUGCUGGGAUAAAGGUGCCAUAUUUGGAGAAUUGAUCCACCACCACUAGGAUCGACCCAUACUCUCCCACUUUUGGCAGACUCAAGAUGAAUUCUAUAGAGACGCUCUCCUAUGGCCACAAGGGUUCAAGGAGGUCAUCAGGCUUAUUCUACUCCACCUUGUCCUAUUGGCAUAUGAGACACAUAUGGACAUAAUCUUUCACAUCCUUCCCCAUUUUAGGCCAAUAGUAUGGCCUCUCCAAGGGGGCAAGGGUUCGGUGCAUUCUUGGGUAGACAACCCAAAGGGUGUCAUGACAUUAUCUCAAGAGUUCUCUUAUAAGAUUAUCCAUCCGCAGAACAUACACUCAAUGCCCUUUUAUGAAAAUGAGUCUAUCCCCAGACCAAAACCAUCGUGCCUUUCCUUCUUCAAUGAGUUGUUUCAAGAUAAUGGUUAUAGGAUCUUUCAACAUCCCUUCUUAGAUCUUUAAUAGAAGGGUCGCUUGCACCUGGCUGACUCGACUUUGCUCUUUCAUCUUUAGAGCCAUGAGCUCAUCCUUGCGACUCAAGGCAUCGGCCACCUAAUUCAUAUACCCUGGCUUGUACUCCAGGGUCAUGUCAAACUCCACAAGGAAGUCCUAUUAGCGAGUUGCUUUGGAGAAAGCUUCUUCUGUGUUUGGAAGUAGCUGAGGGCCACAUUGUUUGUUCGGACAAUAAAUUGUGACCCAAAGAGAUAGUACCUCCAUAAUCUUUAAGCAAUGAAGCACCAUCGUUAUCUCCUUUUCAUGGAUAGUGUAUCGCCUCUCCGUAUCAUUCAGUUUUCAGCUCUCAAAAGCCACUAGAUAGCCCUCUUGAACUAGGACCCCUCCAAUAGCAAAGUCUGAUGCAUCGGUUUGGACUUCAAAUGACAAAUUAUGAUUUGGUAGCCACAAGAUAGGAACCUCCAUCAUUGCUGCUUUCAAGUCCUCAAAAGCUUACUCGCAUAUUGGGGACCAAUCCCAUAAUCGGUCUAAAGUAUCCUAUCUUAGCUCAGGUUGUAAGAGAUAUUUUGACAAUUCCAAUAUUUACAGUAGCAUCGAAUCAACAUUUAGCACCAUGUAUAAGUGGUUGAUGCAUUCGAAGUUCAUUAGAUCUUGAUAUUGUUAAAGCUGUGAUUUGUCUUCAACAUCGGCUAAGAUUAGAGAAAAAAGAUAAUGUUAUUGUAUUUUUAUUAAAUUUAUCUUAUUUAAAGUACUUUAUUAGUUAUUCUUUUAUUUUAUUUUAGGCCCUAUUGCAUCAGUUGUUCACAAUCUUAAUUCUUCUCUAGUAUUGAAUAGCUAUUCUAUUUAUUUUGAAAACUCAAAUAAAUCAACAUCAAUUCACAUAUUACCAUGAAUAUAACAUGGAAUUUCAAAAAAUUAUUUUGUUGUUUUUGUUUAUAUAUGUGCAAACUUUUAUACUCAUAUCAUCAUUUGUAUUGCAGGGUAAUUGGAGCAUUGGAGAUUGUUGUAUGAUUUUGUCCUAUUAAAUUGAAAUAUUCUACUUAAUAAUUUAUGAAACUUUUUAAAGACAUUUAUGUUUAUGGGGAUGUAAAGUUUAUCUUUGGAUGAGAUUAACUAUGGUCGAUGAUGAUUGUGUUUUGAUACUAUUUAUACAUUUAAACUUUUGUUCUUUUAUCAUUUAUCUUAUUAGAAUUAUACUACUUAUUUGGAUCAUUUAUUAUUGUGGAUUUUAUUGGAUUUUAUGGAUCUAAAAUUAUAUUAUGGUUCUCCUUGCAAUAAUUGUGUGGUUAUGAUGGAUUCAUAAUAUAGAAUCUCUAGUGAGGAAGUAAGUAUAUAUUUAUUAUUUUUUGGAAUGAUUAUUGUUUAGAAAUAUUCAUGCUAUCUUAAUUGACUUUCUUAUUUUAUUAUAUUUGUAUUUAAGUACUUUUAUUACUAAUAUGGAUGAGUGUGUAUUCAUGUCAAUUAGGGAGAGUAUUGGUUUAUUAUUUGGAUUCUCAAUAUAAGGCACAUAUUAUCUUUUCUCUGAAUAUUUUCGAGUUUUAUGAUAUACUUUUUGCAUUCAAUUUAGUUUUAGAUUAUAAUUAUCGUCUCUCACAUAUAAUAUUUUUUUUGAAAUUGUAAUUUUUUUAUUAAUUUACCCUUUAUGAAUAUAUCAUUAUAGUUUUUGUUUUUGAAUUUUUGCUUUAAAUAAAGUUUAGCUUCUUGUUUUCAAUGAAUGCUUGUUGAAAUUAUAAUUUUUUAUUUAAUAUAUUCAUUAUGAUUAAGUCAUUACUGGUAGCUUUUAUUAUUGAAUUCUUCGUUUUAAUGAAAUUUAUCGAUUUUGAUUAUGGCUUCUUGCUCCAAUUAAUGCUUGUUAAAAUUGUAAUAUUUUAAUUGAAUCUAUCCUUUAUGAUCAUAUCAUUAUUAUUAGUUUUCAUCAUUAAUGUUAACCAAAAUUAGAUUAAUAUCCAAAUUAAUAUUUAAUUUAUAUCCACACCCAGAUAAAAAAUAGAUGUGCUUGACAUCGAAUUUUUAUCCAUAUCCAUUUGUAAUAAAUGUAAAUAUGCUUAAUAUCCGAUUCGCAUCCAUAUUUAUUUAGAAAAAAAUAUGGAUAUUAAUUUUGAUUUCUAUUUAAUAUAUAUAUAUAUAUAUAUAUAUUUAUAUUCAUAUUCAUUGAAAAAUAUUAAUGUAAAUAUAAAUAUAUCAAUAUCUGAUCCGUAUCUAAUUUAUUUUUAACCGACUCUAAGGUAGCAUCUUUAUCCGAUCAGAUCACUCAACUCCUUCAUUGCAGCAGUCCACCAAUUCAUAUCCAACUAGUAGUCAAACCCUCAUCUAUAGUCACAAAUUGGCCAUUCAAAAUAUAAUUUUUAAGCAAUUCAAUGGUAACUCAGAAACGUCACUCAGGUGCCUUGCACCAAUCAUGUUGCUCUAUUUAAUGGCAUAUUUCACAAUGCCAUUCAAAGGAGGCAAAGACAAUACCCUACACAAUGACUUAUUUGAGUUUAGCAUUUUCAAUAAUAAGUUGUAGCCCCACUUCUCUCAACUUCUUCAAUUCAGAUCUUUCGGAGAAAAACUGUUUCUUUCAAGUGAAACAAGGAGAUAGUUUUGACAUUCACUGCAGGUAGCUCGAUUUUUUCAGCUCUUACAACAAUAGGGACAACCAUCCUUUAGGCUAUCAAGACCAAAAAGUAUAACCAUCCAAACUUGUCCCAACUAUUUGGUGUAAGAUCUUCAUUCUUCCUGUUUAGAGCCACCACUAAUGUUAUUCAAGCUUUAAGAUUUUAAGAUCACGGCUUCACCAGCUCACAAAGUAUACCAAUUUUCCCAUCCUGAUCACGUCAAAGAAGCACACAGAGAACAUGCCCAGGAACUAGGCUCAUGAAAGCAUGUUAGGAACAAGAUUACAGAGAAGCUGAGCGUCAAUCGACUUUCCCAAGCUACUCUCAGAGCGAGUUGAAAGCUUCAAAGAGGGAUAAAUAUGAUGGAAGUAUUUAAUGACCACAUAAAAGUGCUUGGUCUCUUAUAAAUCUCAUCAUAGAGUGCAUUUUCCUUUUGAGAGAGGUCAUAGAGUGCAAAUCAAUUUAUGAAAUAAGUAUCAGAUCUCAUAUCUUUUAACAUUAUAAGCAGUUGAGACAUAGUUUUGGCCAUUAAUUUUACGAGACGGAUUGUGCUCUACAACAAGAAAAGAAAAAUGAAGAUAUGUGUAAAAUAUCGACAACUAUAAUCUGAUCACAAAGAAUUUAAUAAUUCUCAAGAGGGAGAAGAGAAGGAUAACUUCCACCUGACAACUAAAAGAACUGAUGGCUAAGUCUGGAAAUGGCUGAUAGCAUAAGAUGAAUUUCCAAAUAGGAGAGUUUCGAAAAAAAAUGCACAUGCUACUAUAACAAACCAGAGGCAAACAAAAUGGAUUGUUAAGUAAAGCAGUAAAGAGACAGAAUAUUAAAUACAAGAAAAUGUCAUUAGAACACCAUAAAGAAACUCUUAGUUAAACAUACAGACAAGGCUCACUUUUAUUUACCAUAUGAUGGCAUGGAAGCUAGUAUUCCAUACAAGUACCUAAGACACAGACCCAAAUGAUGCAGACUAACCCCCCAUAUUACUCAUCUUAUGACAUCAAACCAUGCUCUCAUAUUACUACUUAAGUGAUAGACCCGGACGCCACACUCAUUGCUGAUGUCUUGACAGCUACAGAUUAAACAUCACCUUGAUUGCAUCAUGACCACGAGCACUGACCUCAAAAGCUUUCUCCACCUCCUCCUGAGAGAAUCCAAACCUGUGAGUUAUCAAAGGUCUCACAUCGACCUUUCCACUACUCAGGAACUCAAUACAUAAUGGCCAAGUGUCCUUGUAGCGGAAGACACCAAUGACAUCAACCUCUCUGGAACGAAAGAAAAUGGAAGAAAUAUAAGCAAUCACCACAUCAAGUCAAUGAGAGAUGGAAUCCGAUUUCUCCAGACGAGAAGCAAUUGAAUAUUGGUGGAGAUGAUAAUACCUUGCUGCAGCAGGAGUAAGGGGGACAGUCAGCUCAUUUUCGCCCAUUCCAACGAGGCAAACUUUCCCACCAGCACAAGUAGCAUUAAGAGCAGUUGACAUUGUUUUGCUAAAACCAGCACAAUCAAACGUCGCAUGAAUGUCAGCACCCAUAGCCUUCUGUAUUUGAAUAACCUCCUCAUCAAGAUCCUAUAAAACAAUAUUACAUUAGAUAUCCCUGAAAUGAAAACAAAUUUUAACAAGGAGUUAUGAAAAAAUAACUGGUCCAAAUGAAACAACUAUUGAAUUAAGACUUUGUGAUUUUCAUAAUUUAGUAAUAAAUAAUUGUUGUCAACUGUUGACUGAUUUGUGGACUGUUAGCUUUAUUUUUCAGGGUACAAACUUUUCAUGUUUUUGAGCAACAUUGUGAGAUAAUUUCUGUGAAGAAUUUUAUUCAGGUGAACCCAUCCAAUGCAUGCGUUAUCAGCAGUCCUUUCCAUCCAGUAUUGAAGAGAAUAGAUGGACACUCUUAUUAUGAGACAACUUCAAGUUCCAUCCUUCCAUUAGGGAACAUCUUCUACUGAUAACAUAUUUAUCAACUGGCCUGAGUAUCCUGCUGUUUGAUUGUCUGUGCGCUUUUCCUUUGAAUGAAACACUGAAUCCUCUGUAGGAUGUAUCACGAUUCAAUAUAAUUGUCUCCCCUUUUCUGUAUAAUGUGGAAACUCUUGCAUAAACCCUUUCUUGACUACACUUCCACAUACUCCUAUAAAGAUGGCAAUAUCUAAAGAUUCUAAACAUAUUAUAACAAUGUUCUUUCUUCAAAUGAUAUGUCCAUUGAAAAAAAUGCAUAAACUUGCACCAAGGCUUUGAAUUUUCAGGUAUCACCGUGUCCUUUCACCCACGUAAACCUUCAUGCUGAUGUGCUGCUUGUAAAUUGAACUGCACCUCUAUGUAUCAGAGGACCUAUGUCCCUACUUCCUAGCAUCCCCACUAACCACAAAACCCAUAUAUUGGCCAAAGAAACCAAUUGCACGUCAGAAAUUAGGUAUAUCAAAGCAUGAAGUAUGCUAGCAUAUGUAACUAAGUAGAGUUCAUAGGUCUUGAAAUGUAAAAUAAUAAUGGCAAUACUUCCACCAAGGACAAGUUCAUUCAUCAGUAGGAACUCAGAAAUUUUUGUUCUUAAACCUUACUAUCUAAUCCUAACACCGAACCAAACCGAUGCCUGGACUGCUGGGCCAUGUGGGUCGAUUCGAGCUAUAAAAUCAAUCCACUGCCUCCUCAGUUCGAACGAAGCCCUCUCAAAGCUUCGUCUGCUCUCUCAACUCUCUCGCUUGCUCUCUCCACUCUCUUUCCCACCCUCUUCGCUCUCUCCGCACUCUCUGCUUCUACAUCCGCGUUGCUAGGGCAAACUAUUCAAACCUAGGCUCGACUUGACCGGUUCACCGAUGACUUUCCCAUCCCUCUUCCCUUUGCUCUCCACCAAGGGUUCUCUCUCUACUCCUAGAGCAAGAAAGGACAUCCCGGGAGAUCUGCGAGGAGACAAGAGGCCUCAAAGGUAACUCCAUCUCAUUCUCUCCCCCCUCUCUGUCCCUCCUCUCCUUCUUCCUCUCCCUACCUCUUCCUCUACCUCUCUCUCUACCUAUUCCUCCCUCUCCCUUUCCCCCUUCCUCUCUCCAUUUUGGUAUGCUCCAGCAAGGUACAGGACAUAUCCAUGUUGUACCGUAUUGGUAGCUGGCCAGUAUGAGUCAUGGUACCGAUGCGGCAAACCUUACAAAUCCCUAAUAUCAAUAUAUCACUGGUGAAAUUUUUGUUCAUAAAUAUUGCUUUCUAAUUCCUAAGAACUGUACAUUUGGCACCAGUUAUGUAAAGCUUUGCAUAUCCUCACUAUGGCAGCCAAACUUAAAAUGAGAGAGAGAUAUAUAAUCUUUGAAACUAAUUAAUUGAUAAGCCCAGGUUAUAAUUCAUUAUCAAGGACCAAAAAUUUAAAAAGCCAUGCUUGUGAAAAAGCCUAGAGUUAUUGAAAAACAUUUCCUUCCUUUGUCCAAGAGCUCAAAUAAUUAGUAACUUAAUAAUUUAGGUUGCAUUUGGUGUUACUUUCACUUCUCCUAUUUCUAAAAGUAACAAUCGAUUUUUCUACUUCAGUUUAAAAUUCUUAAAAAAGCAUAAACAUUCUGGUUUAAUCAACUUUUUUUACUUUUGUAAGCAUACGAAAAAUCAAAAACUAACCCCUCUUCCAUCCUUUGGCAAUGGCAAUGGCAAUGGGAUGGAUAGCAGUGAUUGUGGCAGCAACAAUGAAGGAGGCAGCUGUAUCAUUGGUGGAGGUGAUCACAGUAGUGGUGGUGGAGACAGCAGCAACAAUGGUGGACGUGGCAAUGGCAAUGUCAAUAGAGGUGGUGGCAAUCUAGCAAUAAUGGAGAAAGUAGCAGCAGCAGCAUCGGCAGCGGCAGAGGUGGUAGUAGUAGCGUGACGGUGGAGAUGGUGAUGGUGGUGAAAGGAGUAGCAGCAGCAGCAGUGGUAGACAUGCGGGCGGUAUGCGAUCAUGGAGGGGCGACAAUGGCAGAGGAGAUGGUGACACUUACUGGUGGAGGUGACCAUGGUAGCUGUGUGGUGGUGGCUAUGGCAGCUGGUCGAAAGGAUAUCAAGGAGAGGGGUCACCACUUGUUAAACUUUAGUUCUCUAUUUUUAUAAAAAGUGGAAAGCAAUAUUUUCUUUCUUUCACUUUUUUCAGAAAUUAUGAGAAACAAGAGAACAAGGGAGUGCCGCAUAGGCCCUUAGUUUCAUAAGCGGAAGGCCCAAGUACCAUGCGAUCUUUUAACCUGAAAAAUUAAACCUGUGCUUAUUACAACUUCACUUUUGGCUUCCUAGGAUGAGAAACAAUCUAAAUUCUGUUUCAUCUACAGUGUAUUUGUCGUCUAAAGUCAAAGCAAUCUUCCAUUGGAUCUUUAUAAAAUUAACUUAUACCUAAGAGCCUUUACUGUACAAUAGAAUACAGAUGCUAUUGAGAAAUUAAAAAAAAAAAAGAUAAAGAGGACUAGGAAUUAAAAAAAGUGUUAAGAGAUAAUUGAAGUGAAAGAAAAUAUCAAAUAAGUUCAUGUAAAAUUUAUAAUUAAAAGAACAUAUUAUAUGCUAAAAUCAUUUCAAAGUGGGUAACAGAAGAAAAACAUCCUUAUUUAGAGGUGAGUUUUAUGGCAAGAUAUACCACACUUAACAAGGAAAUGUAAAAGGAAGAGAAAAUAGGUGGUAAAACCUCCAUGUUUUUAGAAACUUUAACAGUAUCAUCUGCUCCAAGAGUCUUUGCAACUGAUAGACGACUAUCAUCAGCAUCGGUUAUAACUAUUUUUGAAGCACCAAAAGCACGAGCUGCAAGCAUUGUGACUAGGCCUAUUGGUCCAGCUCCCACAAUUAGCACAUUUGUCUCCGGACCAACAAAAGCACGGCGACACGCAUAGACUCCAACACUGAGGGGCUCGCACAUUGCCCCUUCCUCCAAGCUUACAUUGUCUGGAAGCUUAAAACAGAGAUCAGCAGGAUGCACGAUCUGCCAAGAAAAGAGAUAGAUCAUUAGCAACAAGCAAGAAGUUCUUUUGGCCUGAAUCUCAAUAAGUUUUCCAGCAACUCUGAUGGAACAAAUAUUAAGUGAUGAAAUGCAUGAUUCUCACAUGAAGGAACAGCUAGACUUUGAGACUCUUAGAGGAGAACAUUAGAGCUUCAAAUUCAUAGAAUAUAAAUAACUAAGAGGCUCUGAAAUUGGGAGACUAGAGUUGAGACUGCCACUCCGCACUACAACUGUGCAUUAUUCUACCUAUAGAUGAAAGGUAGUAAGUAUCAAAAUAUGGUUCCACUGAAAAUGCUCUUUUUUUUACAUUGCUUCCUUUUGGAUGUGUAGCAUAAAAUCAAAAAUUUGAUUAAAUGGAUCGAGUAAAACUUCAAGAUGGAUCUUAAGGUUAAUUGGAGCUAAUUGUAUGCAGUAAUUAAAGCACCGAUUAUAUUAUUAUAGCAGCCAACAAUAGGGUAAAGAAUUGUAAAAUUCUAAAAAAUUUGAUACCUGAUUAGCCAAGGAACCAUGAACAGGAGGUGUGGCAAAGAACUUCAUAUCCGGGCACAGGUUGUACCGGCCACCUUUGCAGUGCUUACAGUGUCCACAGCUGAUCCCCGGUUCUAUGGCCACGCGGUCACCCACAGCGAGGGAAGUCACUUCGCUGCCCACCUCUUCAAUAACCCCAGCACAUUCAUGCCCAAUUACCAUAGGCUCUUUGACAACAUAUUGGGCACAGCUCAUGGUCUGCAGUAUCAAGUAACAUCAACAAUGUGUUAACUUUUCUUUCCUAAAAUAGCAAUAUGUGUUCACAACUGGGUCCAUAUGUAAAAUUCAAGCAAUCAAUAGAUUAAUGGGUAAAAACGACUAACAAUCGAAGAAUUUAAGCUUCUAAUUAGACUUCUUUUCCUGAAGAAAACAUUGGUAAGAUGCUUUUUCCUCAGCAAAAUUUAAAGAGGGAUGGUCAUAGUAGCAUAAGUAAAUUCAGGAUAUGAAAAGAUGAACCUUGAGGUAAUGAACAUCACUUCCGCAGAUACCCACGGCUUUCAUGCGCACCCGAACAUCGCGAGGGCCUGAAAAUAGUCGAUUUUGUUGGCAAAGAAAAUCAAAACAUAAGAAAGGAAAGACAGGAAUCUCUAGAAUGACCCACUAUAAGAUGAUCAAUUAAAACUUCACAUGUUUUGAUCUAUAAAACACAAUAAUCCAUGAUCCCCACCAUCAUCAUAUUUAAACUCCACCAGUUCAUCCACAAAUUUUAAAAGGAAAACAAUCAUAACCAAUUUUGUCUGCGCAAAAGAUCAAGAUCAAAGCAUAGGAAAGAAAAGAAAGAGUGAUCACUGGAAUGAUCCAUUAAAACAUGAUCAAUUAAAAGUUGACAUGCUUUGUCAACUUUUCACAGAGGAUUUAGAAAGCACAAUAAGCCAUGAUCAUCACUAUCAUCAUCAUGUUUAAACUCCACCAGUUUAUCCACAAAAUCUUAAAAAAGGGUAAAUACAGGGAAAAAAUAAUUCUAGACCAAUUGAUUGGAAACAUAUACAUAACAUAGGAAAACCAGAAAAAGAACACAGAUCAAUCAAACCCACCACAGAAAAACUACACGUAAGCAUAACAUGCCCUAUAUCACAUCAAAGAAACAUAUAACUAUUAUCAACUUAUACUGAAUGAAAUGGGAAAAGAAGUAAAGUGGAAGAAUAAAAGAAAGAGGGGAUAGAUACCAAGAGGUGGGAGCUGGUAAGGCUGGAUCUUGAGGGAGUUAACAGCCACCAGCCAGGCUGCCAUGUUCUCCCCAUUCCCAUCUCCACCUCCUUCACCACCUUUCCCCAUCUCCCUCUCCUUUCUCUCCCCCUGACACACUCUUCUUGAGUUUUUCUGCCCAGUGAGCCUCUCCUGGGGGUGUGAGGCGAGCUUUAUAAGCCAAAGAAAGAAAAAGACAAGGGGUGAUUCACCUCUGCUGGUUUUCAGAAAGGGGACGGCGGAGUAAAAACCACUGUGAGAGUUUAUCCCUUCCUGCUGAAGAUCUUAAGCCUCGUGGAAUCCAUUUGUGACAGACCCACUCAUUCCAUGAAACGUGUGCAACAAAGAAAUUUCAGGCCCUGAAUGGGUUCUGAUGGUUGGAUUUGUGUUUUGAGCUUGAUAGAGGAUCCUGGUCACCGUACGUUACUAAAUUUAUUCGCUAGGUUUCUCCCGUUUGGAUUGUGUGCUGCGUGGCAUCUAAAAAUUCAGGGGGCGCUUAAACUACUUCGCUGGAGGGACCCUUUUUUUUGUUUCCGUUCCCGGUUUCUGCUGGGCUUGUAUUCUUCUCCGGGGCCCAAAACUGCCACGUAUCAUGCCAUGUGAGAUGAGACUGUGGGUCCAGUUCACGGGGCUGGUGCGAUCCUUGGCCGGUCAUUGAUGUGGAGGACCAGUUAAAUAAGAGUUUUUUUUCACAAAUACGCUCCUCAAUAUUGAAUUUUAUAGAAAUACACUUCCAAAAUUAAUAUAUAUAUAUAUAUCCUCAUAAAAUACUUAUUUUAUUAUUUUACUUUUUUUAUUUUUGUUUUUGCAUAUAUAUACCUACGUCAUCUAAUGCCGUUAAAAAAUUAGCGGUUUCAAAUUAAAAUAACUAAAAUACUCUUAAUGAAUGGAUGUGCAAAAAACAAUAUUUAUAAAACGAUCAAGAUGAAAGAUAAAAAAUAAUUUCAAAAUUUUAUUUUUUUAAUUAAAGUAAAUAUAGUUUUUAUUCACGGUGUUAGAAGAAUUGUUAUAUUAGGAGUAUUUGUGUAAAAAUAGUGUUUUAUGAGGUAUAGAAAUAAAUAUAAGUUUUAAAACAGUAUUCACGCAAAAUUAAAUUUUUAGAAGGAUAUUCAAGAAAAAAACUUGUUAAAUAACUAUCCAGUAGGAAUUUUUUAUGGCGUAAUUAGGUAGAGUAGUAUCUGUCUCUUAGAUUAGAUGUGUACAAAGUUUUUUCUUUUUUCUCAUUUACAUGUAUAUAACUUUUGCAGAUAUCGCUGUUGUUAUAUGUGUUUUGGAUUGUUAUAAGAAGUAAUUGCGGUGUUGAUCAUAAUUUUAGAAUAAUUUAGAUAGAGACACCAUCUUGCCACUUGCUCAUCUUUUAUAUUCUGAUGCUAAUGGAUGUUUGUAUUCUUGUAUGACGUAAUUUAUUCCAUUUUUCAAAAGAAAAGAUGAAAUUCCAGAUCGGUACGUUUUAGUGCAACAUUUGAUCAGGUCUCCUAUGAUUGCACAACUAAAAGAGGAAAUGAAAGAAAACUAUGAACGCCUAAACACGUCUUGCAUGCGCUCACAGGACAGAAAACCUGCAAACAAAGAAACAGUGGGUCUUUCAAAAGAGUAAAGGGAAAAGGAAACUUGAAAGAAAAAGUAUGUCGACUUUUAAAAAAAGUCCCACUGAUUUACAAGUCUAUCAAUAAUUUUUUAAUAAACUAUCGGUUGGAUACAUUGAGCUUAACAAAUAUAAAUACAAAUUUUUAAUUAUAUUACAUAUAAAUUAUGAAAUUUGAUACUAUUUUGAAUAAAAAUAAUAUUGUAUAAACUGAUUGGCUAUGAAAGAAAGAUUUAAAUGAAAAUAAUAUCAUUUUGGGAAAGAAGGUUUUAAAUUGAAUAAUUGUAAUGAUUAAAAAUUUAAAAUGCUUUGUUAACUUGGUUAGCUGAAUUUUUAUUUUAACUGAAUUUUGAUGGAGGAGAGAUUGAUAAUGUUAAAAAAUAUUUUUAAGAAUAUUUUUAUCUAAAAGGAUGACAGAUGAAAUCUAAAGAGGAAUAUAGCAUGCAUGUACACUGCAAGCAAAAUGAACCCAAUGAUCAUUAAGAAAUAUUUAGAAUGAAGAGUCUUAUCCUAUCCUUAUUAACAAGAUGGUACUAUAACCAUCCAUCACAUAGUAUUUGUCAUCAAAUAUUGUGUGCACUCGCAUGUUAAAAUCUACUCUACAUCCAUAUAUAAAGCAAUGAUAUUAGAUUGUUCCUCCUUCCAACUUGUGAGUUCAACUAUUUCAAAAAGGAUCACCUCAAAAAAAAUAUUUAGGAAAGGAAAAAUAAUAUAAAGGACUCUAAGAGGGAAGGCCAAAAUAGUCAAUGAUAGAUCUAAUCUUUUUAAGCAAAUAAAACUAUGAAGAAUUUAGCCAUAUUCAUCAUAUUAAGGAAACCUAACUAUAGUUUUUUUUUAUGUCAAAAAACCAAUAACAGUGAUAUACCUCGGAACUGAUCAUAACUGAUACGAAGAGCUGAUCAACCAAAGCUCACCACGAAGCCUGUAAAUUACUGAUUAGAACUUGCUAUAUGACACGCUUAGAAGCUUGCAGCUAAAUUCAAAUUUCAAAAACUCCUCACAACUAGCCACAUUUUGGCCAGAAUCUCAAACGACCUUGAAAAUUACUCUAGCCAAAUAGGCAGGGUGUGAUCUGCGUGCGAAACACCCGUGCCUGAUUCUCAAAACAUGUAGAAGUCUGUCAAUUUUGGCCGACCUACAUUUCCAAAUUCUAGGACGACAAGAUCUCCCUACGCUUGUACAAUCCAUUCUCCAGAGGACCUUUCAUGUAAGUGCUCAGUUGCUCUGACAAACCACCGAGAACCUCAUCUAUUUUUUGAUUAUCAUCUUAACUUAGGCAUCAGAGGAUCUCCUGUCAGACAUACUCUAGCAAGAUGAAUUCUUCAUCUUUCUUGUUUCAGGUGGGAGCGUGACCAUGGACUAGGACAUUGGCUACAACCAUCCACCCUGAGUUGCAGCCCUGCACGACUCAAGCAACCGAUCUCUAUUCCACCAGCAUCCAACACCUCUCCCGCUCAGCAUCUAGGGCAGGUAGGCCCUCAACGGCAAUAGAUUGUUGCUAGAAGGAGGGCCUAAACCUUCGAUCUUGUCGAAAAUAAGGACACAUUCCACUUUCUUUUUUUGUCGGAUCUAGGUGCCUUUGGCAAUGAUCUCACCAGUCGGAUGCAUCCCACUAUGACAACCGAUGAAGAUGCUCUCGAGCAUAAUAGGUCAAGUGAAACAUUAAACAGCCCCAAGGAGGCAACACUUUCGUUCAUCGAUCAAACUACUCAACAACCCCAACUUGCAAGCCUUUGUAGCAAGGAAGAUUUCGAGGAAGCUUCCACCAGGGCCUACACCCACAUUUUAUUGCCCCUUGUACCGAAGGCUUGACGAGCUAACCGACCUCCAUAGGUCGGGACAACCUAAGCAGAGGUUUCGACCCUCGUGUUGAAGGCUUGACGAACUAACUGACCUCCAUAGGUCGGGAUAGCCUACACAAAGGUUCUGGCUCUCGUGCCAAAGGCUUAAUGAGCUAAUCAACCUCCACACAUUGGACAACCCAAGCAGAGAUUUCAACCCUCAUACCAAAGGGUUGACGAGCUAACCGACUUCCAUAGGUCAGGAUAGUCUAAAUAGCUGACCCUCGUAUUGAAGGCUUGACGAGCUAACCGACCCCUAUAGGUUGAGACACCCCAAACAGCUAGCCCUCGAAACAAAGGCUUGAUGAGUUAACCAACCCCUACAAGUUGGGACAACCAAAGCAAAGGUUCUAGCCGUCGUGCCAAAGGCUUGACAAGCUAACCAACCCCUAUAGGUCGGAACAUCCUAAGUGGAGGUUCUAGCCCUCAUGUCGAAGCCUUGACGAGCUAACCGGCCCCUACAAGUUGGGAUAGCCCAAGCUAAGGUUCCGGCCAUCGUAUCGAAGACUUAAUGAACUAACCAACCUUUUUAGGUUAGGAUGGCCCAAGUGGAGAGAUACUGUCCUCCUAGCCGAGGACUUGGCUAGCAAACCUUUUUAGAUCAGGAUGACCCGAAAGAUCCAAGCUCUCCACCUCAGCCAAGCAAAGCUAAAAAUAAGGGUCAAGCAUCUAGUAGGCUGAUCGAUCCAGCAAAUUGAUCUCUCCAGCAGGAUGACCUAUAAUAGGAUGAAGAGCUGACAUUCAUAGCUCUCAGUACAAAAAGGCCGACUCUAGCAGCUUUCAAAAUAAAAAAAGUGUUCAAUGACCAGCCGAAGUUUUCGCACUUGAUCGUACUCUCAACCAGUGAUUUUAAAAUAUGGGUGAGGCAAGAUGAGCUCGAACUUCUCUAUAGUUGGCUAGCUUGACUACUUCUUUCACCUGAGCCGGAAAGAAUAACUUGUACUCAAAAGUGGGGGGCAAGUGAUGUGGUCUAAAUCUGAUCCGCCCAUCACAGGUCGACAUGUGGUGAGAAUUUUGAAAAAAAUUAAUUUUUUUAAAAAUUGAAUUCUUGGUGGGGUCCAAAUAAGAAAGAAGAUUACAAUAGAUUUGAAUCCAAAUAAGAUACAAUAAUCUCUUAAUUUUUUCCUCCAAAUUAUAACGGAUCUAUACUCCCUCAUCUAUAUAAAUAAGGCCAAAGGACUCCAAAAAGAGGAGAGAAAGGAGAGAGAGAGAGGAGCAUCCAGAGGCUCCUAAGCAUAGACUACGAGAAGUUUCUAAGGAGAGACUCUUAAGCUCUCGUAGUGAUAAGCUCUUAUAGCGAGAAGCUCUUGUAGCUACCUCUACGUCCGACUCCUCUUUCAUGGCCAUCCAAGCAUGGUAUCUCCUCUCUAAACGGCAUGUGCAUCCUUAGAGAUCGAGAUACACAUCUCUGGAGUCUGCACUUUGGUGUCAGCCGAGAUCCAAGCACUGUGCAUACAGGACCUAUGUCCUUAGAGACUAGGAUGCCAGUCUCUAGAGGCUGCCCUUCCAUGCUAACCGAGAUCUGAGUAUCGUGCAUAUGGGACCUGCAUCCUUUGAGACCAGGAUGUGAGUUCCUGGAACCGCCCUUUCAUGCCAGCCAAGAUCUGAGCACCGUGAAAAUGAGACUUGCAUCCUUGGACACCAAGAUGCAUGUUCGUGGAGGCCAUCCUUUCGUGUUAGUCGAGAUUCGAGCAAUGAGCAUACGGGACCUGCUUCCUUGGAGACUAAGAUGCGAGUCCCUGAAGGUUUUCCUUCCGUGUCACCAAGAUUCGAGAUGUAUUCAUACAGGACUUACAUCCUUGGAGACUAGAAUACGAGUCCUUGGAGGUUGCCCUUCUAUGCUAACCGAGAUUCGAGCACUGUGCGUACAAGACUCACAUCCUUGGAGACCAGGAUGCAAGUUUCUGGAGGCCGACUUUCUGUGCCAGCUGAGAUCUGAGUGCCGUGCAUACAGGACCCUCAUCAUUGGAGAUCGGGAUGCGAAUCCCUAGAGGUUGCCCCUCUAAGCCAGCCAAGACUCAAGCGUCGUGCGUACGGGACCCACGUCCUCAAAAUCCAAGAUGGGAGUCCCUAGAGAUUGGGACACGCGUCUGCCAACCAAAGUCGUGCCAAGCUCCUAGUCUGUACUCCUAGUUCAUGCAUCCUCGGAGACCAAGAUGCAAGUCCUUGGAGACCGAGACACGCAUCUGCUGAUUAGAGCCAUGCAGAGCUUCGAGUCUAUGAUCCUAGUCCAUGCAUUCUUGGAGACCAGGAUGCAAGUCCCUGAAGACCAGGACACGUAACCAUUGACCAAAGCGAUGCCGUGGUCCUAGUCUAUGCUCCUAGUCCAUGCAUUCUUGGAUAUUAGGAUGUGAAUCCCCAGAGACUAGGAUGUGUGACGAUUAGAGCCAUUCCAAGCUCCUAUUCUAUGCUCUCAGCCCAUGCAUCCUCGAAUACCAAGACGCGAGUCCUUGGAGACUGGGAUGCGCGUCUGCUGACCAAAGCCAUGCCCGAGCUCCCAAUUUGCUCUCCAAGUCUGCACAUCCUCAGAGACCACGAUGUGAGUUCUUGGAGACCGAGACGCUCAUCUGUUGGCCAGAGCCAUGCUGAGUUUCUAGUCUACGCUCCCAAUCUGCACAUCCUCGGUGUUAAAAUAUUUACACAAGAAGAGGAAAACAAAAAAAGAGAGAGAAAAGAGUAAUUUUAUUUUUCUACUCAAGUUCAUUCGGUACAUCUCAAAGGUCAUAUAUACUCAUGUACAGACUCUAUAUAGAAAAAUAAUAUAGGUUGAUAUAGGAUUAUGCCAACAAUGAAAAAUAUUACUUGCUGAUACGAUUUGUUAUGUGAUCCCUAAAAUCACUCUAACAAGAUGAUGCUAACAAAAAAAAAUAAUAUUAACCGAUACAGGAUCAUGCUAGCAAUAGAAAAUAUUAUGGGUUGAUACAGGUAGUUAUAUAAUUCCUAAAAUUAUGCUAACAUCUUUCCUCAAACUCAAGAUGGUACUAUAUGUGCUAAUUUGAGUUUGGAAACUAGAUCACGAAUGUACCUAAAAAUUGAUGUACUAGACCAAAUAUUGAAGUAGCAGCUUAGAAGCUGACGUGAUAAUUUAGGAGCUGACAUAGCAGCUCAUAGACUGACGCAAUGGUAGAUUAAGAGCUGACAUGGCAGCAUAUAGCUUAAUGUGACAGAACACGAGCUAUUAUAGCAGCUCAAAAGCUGAUGUAGCAGAUUAAAAAGUUGACAUAACAACUUAGAAGUCGAUAUGAUAGACUGGUGUGUUAAGAUGAUGUGACAAUACAGAAUUUGAUAUAACAGAACAGAAACUGACAUAGCAGCUUGGAAACCGAUGCGGCAAAUCAAAAAGCUUGCGUAGCAAACUAAUGUAUUUGGAAAUAUUGGCAUAGCUAACUGAUGUGGUAGACUAAUGCGUCCACUGAUACAACUGACUGACAUAGUAAACUAGUAUCUAUUGAUAUAUUUGACUGACGUGACAGACUGACAUAUUUACUAAUAUAGCUGAUUGACUUGUCUGAUGAUGUGGUAGCAAUAAGACAUAUAGAAAAUGACAAUUAUAGCGAGGACGGAACUCAGAGGGAAGGCAACUAAAGCUCAGCGAUCCUCAUAGAUAGAGGCUAACUGUCACCGAUACAAUGAACCUUGCACUGUUGUGCUUUCAACGGCUAAAAUUUUUAUUCUAUGUACGAGUGGAAAUUUGAUUUGCCCUACGUGAACUAAAUUUUAGGAUAAAUAAAUACGGAUAUAAGCUUCUCACAACAAUUUUGUAACCUUAUUCUACUAUGAUAUGUCUCCACCCAAACCAUUAUAAGGGCUAUAACAACCAUUAUUUGACUCAUUGUUGUGAUUUCAACUUAUAUUCAAUGUUACAUAAUAGUUACUAUGAUUUACACAUGCAAAUGCAUGCUACUUUUGAAAAUUAUUUUAGUUUCAAAACAAAUGCAUGAAAAUCAUCAAAGCAAAAUGUAUUAUUUAUCAUAUUAAAAAGUAAAAACUUGAUAUGAUCUUAAACAUAUCUUAUUAUUGCUUGGUUAUAUAUGAAUUAUGAAAUUUUUAUAGAGGCACAUAAGCAAAUCAUCAAGUAUAAUAGUAUAAAUAUUUGAAAUAAUGUGGUAACUUGGAAAUCUGAUAAUGUUUUAGGGAAAUAAAAAUUGAGCAUGAACUUUCAAUUAAAUAAAUAAAAAAUAAAAUGCUUGUAAGUAUUCAUUAUAUUAAAUAUUUAAUACCCUUUCUAUCUGAACUUGAAAUAUAAUGUGUCACCCAUGAUCUCAGCAUAUUUCAUCAUUAUAUACUUUCUUUUGAGCUAGUCCAUCAAGCUAAGAGAUUAGAAUCACGCGCAUACACUUUCUUUUUGAUUCACAUGUUGUAUUUGUCCCAUAGACCAUGAAAGAUGUUUCUAUAAUUUUUUUUAAUAGCCUAUAACAUAUGUGAAAACAACUGUACUUAUUCCUUAAAAAAUUCUAGUUCUUUUACUUCUUAUAAGAAAAGUUAAAGGUAAAAAGCAGGGCCAUGGACUCUAGUUUGCAUUGGCCAAAGCAAUAGUAUGGAAAUUUGGUUCGAAAAGCCAUACAUAGCUUCGUACCAUCGGCCUAAAUUAUUUUGCUUUCUUAAGUUUAUUAUUUUGGAAUAUUACUUUUCUACCCCCGAUGUAUUUGGUUAGCACCGAUCAAGAUUGACAUAAUUGAAAUACUAAAACCUACACCAUACAUGCAAAAUUCAAAUCGAAUUGAUUUUUGGAUAUUUAAACAUAUCAAGGGGUAAACUCAAAUGCAGAGAAUAGAAUAGUGGAGAAUGCUCCAAACUAGCCCUCAUGCCAAGACUCGCUUCUCUGUAGCAAAUGACAAUCUCCUGGUGAGGUGAUGGUUAAUCUAAGCUUGGUGCCAUACAUAAGAUGCGGAUGAGUAUUAGGUGGGUGGGCAGUUAACAUGUUAAUGCUUGCUAAUUGCCACAUUUUAAGCAAGCAUUGGAGCUUGGCAUCAUAUAUUAGAAGAGAUAUAUAAAAAUUAUUUUUUCUAGUUAUCUUCUAAAGUAAAUUGGAAGUGCACAUAUUGAUGCAUAUAAAAUCUCUAUUAAUACAUGAAAUAUAUUCAAGCACAUAUACAUGAAAGUCAUAAAUUAUUUGUUAACUAAUUAGUUUUAUUAGCCACCAAGCUUUGAUUUAGAUGUUUAACUGAGGCACUCUCUUUCUGUUUAACCUUGGCUUACUUUAAAAAAUGAGCUAAUAAUUGUUUUCAAGCUAAGACUACACUAUUUAAGAAGAGUAAUUAUGUGGAACACUUUCUUAAUAAGCUUUACAUGAUAUUGUGAGCAUUAGUAAUGGAUGUCACACUAUACUUUUUUUCAUCUCUUUUUCUUUCCUUUGCUUGAGUUGUUGAUUAAAAAUAUCAUUGUCCUCCCUAUCCUUCCCCAGCCCCCUACUCACCUUUUACUCCUUUGUUCUCCAUUUUGCCUCCUUACCACACCUUAAUCUAAGAUUCAUCUUAAACCAAAUAGUAAUUGAUGAAAGCUAUUACUAGUGAUUAGAAGAAUAAAAUAAAUUAAUUAUGGUAAAUAGAUGAAUAUAACAUCUAAAUUCAUUGUGUGCUUGUAAGAUAUUAAUCGAACUACGAAAUUGCAAAAAGGAGGUCAUAUGAUAUAUACGUGCCAGGUGUUUCCAAGUGGCAAUCUAAAAUAGAGUUUUGGCAUUGUUUAUGCAAUUUCUAUCUUAAAGAUAUUUCAUUCAUGAAAUCUACCCAUGUCAUCAAAUUGAAACAAGCAUUGAUGGUGCGAACGGCAUUGUUUCUCACUUACAAGCUCAAUGAAAAUUGCAAGGAUCAAACUAAGAUGCAAUACUAGAGAAACACUCAAAUAUUGUCGUACCUAUCCUUAGGCUUUAAAAGGGUCAAAUGAAAGGGCCAAGGACAUCUGGAACCUCCACUCUGUUGUCACAGCGCCCAAGAUUAUCCUUGUUUUGUGGGAGCCCCCACUCCCUGGCCAUCUGAAGGUGAAUUUUGAUGGGAUGUACCCGUUGGUGGGAAUAGUGUAGGUGUGGGGUAUGUUAUUAGGAGCCAUGACUCGAGACUGAUUGCGACCGGAGGACGACACAUGGCCAAAUUGUCGACCAUUGGUCUGGAACUCAUGACAGCAUGGGAAAGCACCACCUAUACAAGGAGGGUGAUAAAGACGGAGCGUAUCUUCCUAGAGGGGGAUGCAGCCCCAGUGAUCGAGUGGAUUCGUUGAGGAGAGUCGAGGGAGGAGACAACCUUCCGUUAUGCGACAUUUGGGAGAUGGUGGGCGGCUGCAGGAUCUUUCAGGUAGCACACGUGUACCGAGAGGCGAAUAGAGCUGCGGAUUGGGUCGCCUUCUAUGCUAUAUAAUAUUCUGGCGAGAUACUUUGGACAUCACAAGGGACAUCCCCUCUUUGCUUUGUCACUUUUUGUCUUUGGAUUCAGCUGGCUGUACUCAAGCUAGAGUAGUGUAAACAACCGUCGCCACAAAAAAAGGGCUCUAAAAGGGCUAUAAAAUAUUCUCUUGGAUCAAGAUACAACAAAGUAUGGCAAUGAUGUUUUUACAAUAAUUCAGUGACCAUAGUGAUAUUGACCGAAGAAAGGAGAGGAGGAAAUUUGUGAGAAACUGAAGUCAAGAACUCUCCUAACACACACACACAAAAAAAAAAAAACAAUUUCAUGCUCUAUUGAGAAUUCAAACAUCUCAAAUUGCCUCAAGCAAGAUAGGUAAGAAAAGGAUGUCUUUGAAAUCCUAAAUGGUUUUAAAGCUAGGAUGUAUUUGGAUAAUAAACUUUAGAUGAAUGGAUUGGAUUAUGGCAAAUUCAAUUCUUGUGAUUGCUUACUGCAAGAAAUUUAUGGGCACUUAUAUAAAUAACAUGUGGGAAUCCAUUUGUGAAUAGAUAGUCAGACAUCGGAUGGUAAAAGAAAGAUGAAGAGGUUGAGAUACUAGUUAGGUCCGAGACACAAAUCAUGGAUUAGUUCAUAGUGAUGAAUGGGCAAAAAAAGACCAUUUUCAUUUUUAGGAUUAUGGAUAAAUAAUUAAAUUUUGAUUGCCUAAUUUUUUGAUUAAAUAAAUUAUCCUAAUCUUACAAACUGUAUAAGUGUAGGAACAACCAUGUGAAAACCUUCGUUGUUCUUAAAAUAUGUCAUCCCAUAACGCCCUUACAAAAUUUGAAAUUUAGUUAUUCUUAGAAUACCUCUGUUCUAAUUUGAAAUUUACUUCUAUUUGCAUGAUAUAGUUGUGUGCCAUAUCUAUUCUAGUUGGACACAUCUUUUUCUGAAAAUGUACAACUAAAAUAGAAGUAACGAAUAACUCCAUCCCCUUGCCUUUCCUAUUCCCAAUAUUUACCUCCUCUUUUCUUUUUUCAAAUGAAUCUUUUUGUGCCUCUGUUAUUUAUUUUUCCAAGACCUCAACCCUAUUCAUGUCAAAUGUUACAACAUACUAUCUUAUGUUGGAAUAUUUCAAAAUUCCGAGUCUGCCCUUCUUUGUCUUUUGUCUUUUUGUCUAGUGUACUUUCUUUAGUCCCACAUUAGAAAGGAAUAAAACUCAAAAGAUCUUUAUAUAGUAUUCAACCUUUUAACUUGGUGAAGCAAAGAAAGAAAGUAGCCCACGUGCGCAUGAGCCCAAUGGAGGUCCAAGCCAAAAUUGGCGAAUCCGAUCCGGAAACGUUUAACCGGGCGCGUCACGCUCGAUUAUCACGCGCAGGGGGGACCCCCCCGCGGGUGUGGGCUUGAGUCAGGUUUCUUUUUGCCGUUUUAUUUUUUGAAUUGUUUUGUUUUAUCUCUUGAUAAAACGUCGCGUCUUUUAAAAACACCUCUUUGGUAAAACGACGUGUCUUUUAAAUACGCCUCUUCCUUUCUUUUUAAACCCUAUCAGAUCCGAUAGAGAUAUCUUAUCAAAAUCCUCUCUCUGAUUUUUGAGAGAAUCUUAAUCCUCUCUCUGAUUCCCGAGAGCCUCUCUCUCUCUGUUUUCUGUGUUCCCGAGAGGAUACUCUCCUCUGUUUUGUUUUUUCUGAGCGCUUCUGGGCUGUUCAACAAGAUCACUGCAUCUGCGAGUGUGCGCUUGGAGUGAUCCAGUUGUUGUAUCCUGGAGGAUAGGCCGCCAUUACCUGCUACACCGAGAUUCAUUCUCCGAAGGGCGCGAUCUAUUCUUAAGGACAGUGAAAUCACGCCUCAACUGAUAAGUUCUUCCUUCUCUCCAUCUAUUAUUUUACUACAAUCUUAAGAAUAGAUCGACAUGGAUUCUGCUAUGAUUACUGCUAGAUCAAUUCCUGAUACUUCUAAAAUUGAGAGUUUCAAUGGUAUGUAUUUUAAGAGAUGGCAAGAACGUGUUUAUUCUGCAUUGGAUAUGCUUAAUUUUGCUCGGUAUUUAAAUCAGUCAAAACCGAUAGAAGGGUCUGAAGAUUUUGACACUAAAUUCAAAGAGUGGGAACAUGAAAAUAAAAUCUGUAGGCACACAAUUCUGAGUACGCUGUCCAAUGAACUUUUUGAUGUCUACUGUUCAUACAAAGAAGCUGCAGAAAUU
RNAcentral lists this long non-coding RNA (61161 nucleotides) under Phoenix dactylifera (date palm). RNAcentral describes it as "long non-coding RNA (PDAC_LNC006270)". The record is from RNAcentral. Lineage: Eukaryota; Viridiplantae; Streptophyta; Magnoliopsida; Arecales; Arecaceae.